UUUUUUUUUUUUUUUUUUUUUUUUUUUUUGUAGAAAAACUAAGUUUUGCCUUAAUCAACAGAAAGAGUUAUUGAAUUUCACUGUCGAUGUGAGAAUUAUAUCAGUGAGCUAGUCGUAAGAACUCUUGUAAGCGAUUUGUAAUAUCAAAAGCAUGUUUUAUGGCGACUUCAAGUUUGGACUAAAAAGCAUGAGCCAGUUAGAAUUGACAAAAUGGACUAUCAUUAGCAAUAGCUGAAGUGGCAAUAGCAGGAAUUAUCCCACUGCAAAUUUGAAAGUCCUCAUGUAGUUUUCAAUGUGCAAAAACUGUCAUCAUGUUAAGUUAAAAGCUAGAUCAAGUCCCUUUGAAUCUCAUUCUGGUGCAUAACAAUGGGUACUCACAUGCAAGGAGUGGAGUAAAUAUUCUAUAGCACUUAUAUAGCUUCACCCUCAAAAAAUAAAAACCUUCCACAGGAUCAAGCAAACAUAGAAAACAAGCUGAUUUAUCAUUCACUUGUUUAGCAAUUCUUUUUCUCAACAACUGUAAAAAGAGGGAAAAUAGCCCAGCUACGGGACGUCUCAUAGCCUGUUCUGUAUUGAAGCCAAUGAAAAGUUGUACUAUUGAGAGAACUGACCAAACUUGAGCAGAAAAAAUUUCCCUUCAUCCCAUCAUUGCGAUACCAAAUACCCAAACGGAUUUUAUCUUAAUCAUUUAACUGACGAAAUUUGUAGAUUAAGCAAAACAACAAUUAUAAUAAUUAAUCAAGAAAUAAAUGAUAUAAACCUGAUUUAUUCACCACUGCCACUACUCUCAGAGUCUUCUGGGACAAAGGAACACUUUAAUACACUUGAUAUCUUCAUACUUAACAACUGCUGGAGACAAAGAAUGGAGCAGGAACAAUAAUUGCUCAUUUGAGGACAAAAAGUUUUCUUCAGCAAAAUAAGUCAAGGGGUUUUAUUUUCCUUCCCAUGAACAUACCUCAUUUGCCUAACAUUCAAAUAAUUGCUCUCAAAGGUAGAAACUAAUAUACCACCUAUAUCCUCUAUCAACCACACAAAAACAGAAUUGCUAUAGAUAAAUAGAAAAACUGAAUUCAAAUACAAAAUUUAUUAAAAAAAAAGUGAUACGUACCACUUAAAAAGCCAUAUAAAAUCAAUUCCCCAAAUAGAAAUCAAUCAAAGAUUAAACUCAAAUUUUAAAAAUUCAAUGAAAAAAAAGAGAAUCUUUGAGCACAAACACCAGCUACAAAAGUGCUCACAAUCUAGAAAACAAAGAAAUGAAAAUUUGAAAGAAACAAAUAAGACAAAACUUAGGGUAAGAACAAAAUUUUGUAAAAUACAAGAGAGGAAGUAAUGAAUCUGGGUAGUCUCGCCAAGAUGCAUGCCCAUGUGUCUGUGAAAGUGAACGAAGGGUGGUGCGAUUGAAUAGAAGAGGCAGGAAUUGCUAGAUAAUUGUUGAUGAGCUGAGGGAAUUUUUUGUCUUUUAACCAUCGGCUCUCUACGCUCUAUUGUUGUCCCAGAUUAACACUAGAGCUGUGAAAGAUGAAGAUGAUGACACAACAGGUAAAUUUACCUCCAUGCUUGGUCUGUGCAGAAAAGGAGUAUACAAUGGAAGAGAAGCAAUUUGUGGACAAUUGGGAGAUCGGAGUGGGGAGACAGAGUGACAACAAUGGAAGGUUAGAGGAGAGAAUGGAAUUGCUAGGAUGUUUGUCAAGUUCACGGCAAAAGCCACUGGAAUUGUUAAAACUUACAAGAUAACCAGUCCAUUAUCUAACCAAAAGAUGAAGAUGCCCCAAAAAAUUCAACAAAUCCACAAUAAUACCGCAACAGUCUCAGCAGCCAACCAGAGAUCAAAUUAGAUGAUGAAAUCAAUUGAUAACCAAAUAACCACAGCAACUGCUUUAAAUUACCAAAUAACCAAAUCCGGUCAAAAUAAGUGGCCCAGUCAAAAUAAUUGAGCAUCUAAAUUGGAAUUCAAUUGACAAUCCAAUUCCACUCAUUCUCAUCUUUACAAUAUUAAGGAUAUAUAUACUAGUUAUUGAGCAUCAUGCCUAGACAGUGUGGAAUGGCAUAUAGAUUUAUAACCGCAAACUGCAGAAACAUACAACUAAAAAAUUACUGUGCAAAGCCACAGCUUCUCCAUUCUGGCUUGCUAAUCUGCUUUAACUGCAGCUUUAAAGCUAUUCAACAUGUAUUGCAAGAGAUGCACAAACUUCAUGUAAAAACUACAAUCAUAACCAAAAGCAAAAUUACAUUGUCAUAUUACUGAAGAGCUCCAACCUUAGGAAGCUUGCACAUUCUAUCUUUCUCAAGAUAAGAAGGAUAGCAAAGCUCACUAAGAGAAGCAAGUCCAACUAGUAUUUUUUGAUAUCAUGACAUGGUACAAGAUUAAAUUAUAACUCAUUCAGAGAUUAUACUCCUAAUUCAUUUAUUCCGGUGUAAAAUAUGCUAAAAAUAUGUUCUUCGAAGAUGGUAUCUCCCAAGAGAUACUCAAAUUUGUCCCUAAAAGCAAGCAUAAAGCCAAAAUAACAAGUGUUGUUCCUUUGAGUACCGAUAUGAAGCCACAUCCAACAGAUGCAUUCAAAAUUUCUCCUUAUCCAUUAAUCCAUGUAAGCAAGAGCAGGAUCCUUGUAAAUCUCCUCUAUAACCCAUUUUGGGGGGAGAAAAUCUAAACAACGAAAUGCCAGACAAUAAUUUGUAAACGUACCUCAUUUGGUCCCCGUCUGGUGUUCACGAAGGCGCCGACGGCGAAUACAGCGGCUAUGAAGAGUAAAACCCCAUAUAUCGUUAAAUCUUUGGUUGCAGUUGUUGAUCUUUUCCUGCAACUUUGUAACCUCAAGCUGCAUUUCCAUUUGCUUGGCGCUCAAAUUGGCAACUUCCAACGCUUUAACUGCCGUGGCACGGGCCUCCCUAUCCAGCAUCUGCUCCAAUUUCUUUUGCAAUAACACGAGACCUGUGGCGAUUGAUCCCGUGACGACCGAUGAUAAAGCUAAAUCGCCAAGGUUAAUGUCAGUCUCGCCUGGGGCUGAGGUUGGGGUUUGGGUUGCAGGGGUCGGGGUCCCGGUCCCGGUCCCGGACCGGGAUUGGGUAGGGGUCGGGGUCGGGGUCCCGGUCCCGGACGUAGGGGUCGGGACCGGGAAUUGGGUAGGGAUCGAGAUCGGUGUGGAGGUCACGGUUGGGGUCGGGUCAGCCACAGAAAUGGGGGUGGAUUGGGACUCGACGGUUGAAAACCGUCUUCUCACCUCUGUAAAUCUGGGAACAACAUUUGGAUGGCAGUAAAUGAUACUGGUAGCGAGAAAAAUAGGCGUGAAAACAAGAUUUAACAAGUAAACUAAACUUAUAACAAGUUUUCAUUUGAUGUCCGGAACUCUAAUUUUAGUAGGUUUAAAGCGUGACCGAUGUCUUCCAUCACAUAUUUGCUUGCUGUAAAUAUAAUAUGAAUGAGACUUUGCAUCUCUGUACACCGAUCGUGUAAUCUUGAACUCUUGAUUACUUGAACUAAACAAAUGAAAACUUGUUCUGAGUUUAGUUUACUUGUUGACGCUCCGCAGAAAUUUAAUAGCUUAGAGAAAGUUGUGCAGACAUUUACCUGAUUUUUGCUUUGCCAAUCCACAUUUGGAUUUCGGGGAUGUUUUGGAUUGUAAGGAUGGGAGCUCUGGCCGGAAACGGAAACGGAUUUUAAUCCACCAAGAACGGUUAGAAGUUAAAUGGAGGCCUGUGUCUUUUGCCCUAAUAAGUAAUAAGUAGCAGCGAUUUUUAUUUUUCUUUUAAAUGAGGAGGGAGGCUUGCUUGUUAAAUUGAGAGUUUAAAUUACCAAGCCAAUUUAUGAAUGUCCCAUUACAAGAAAUUGCAAAGGCAACUUAUAACAGCAAAUCUUAAAGAUUAAUUCUCACACAUGGCAUACUUCCUUAUAUUGCAAUUAAACAAUUUCAUUAUCAAGAGAAAAGCAUAAAGCCAUUCUAGUUCUAAACACUAAACCAUAGGCAUGGAACCCUGCGUUUAGCAUCACUAUGAAUUCAUCAAGAUAAAUGUAUCCAGCCAACCGUAACACUACAAGAGAAAAAUAAGUAUCCAGUCAAUCAUAACACUACAAACAAAAGUAACCCAUGCAUAGCAUACGUGUUUAAACAAUUUUCAUCACUAAAGUUGCACAACAAGCUCAGUUUAUAUUAGCUUAGAGGGCUCUAAAACAUCACCAACAGCAGAUAUCCAGGUCUGCCUUCCAUAUUCCCCCUACUUAGGUUUCAUCAUAUCUGCAGAAGAAGAAACAGAAUUUCAAUCAGGAGUGCAAUCUCAUGCAGUAGAAUAAGAAAACAAGUACUCUUAUGAAACUCAGAAGGCCAAAGGAGGUCAUGUUGCCUCACAUUUGUCACGGCCAAUACAAGGCUGACACAUUAACCUUCAUAUUCACAACCAAGAUAUUACUGUAAAAGUUGAAUGCAUACCAUGAAGCACAGUUAAACAUGAUGGAACAUUACAAGGACCAUAUUGUUAUCGACUGGUACCACAUUAUGCAGAAUGCAGAACAUUCCUACAAUAUCUUUUGAACCUGUGGAGUAGGAGGAUAAACACAAGCACACACCUAUGCAGGCACACAACUGAACUCAUCCAAAUAGAAAUUCAAAGACAUUGCUCAUAUUUUUCCAAUUAAAUUAAAUGACUAGAAAAUUGAGUUUGCCAUCCAAAAAAAAAAAUUGAAAGAAGAAAAUAAAACAUGAUUACCACUAAAAAAAUUGAAAGAAGAAAACAAUGAUAAUCUCUAAAAAGAAAUUGAAAGAAGAGAAAAAAAUUGUUAUCACUAUAAGGUGCAACCUUCAACGAUUAGAACCUCAAAAUACUCAAUGCAAGACUUCACCUUAGGAUUUUGAAGACCUUCAAGCACCCAUCAUCAAUCUUUUAGAAUCAACAACCAUCUUAUCCCAUUCUCAUCAAAACGGUCCAAUGUCCAAGAAUUGAAGGAAAAUGACGUAUCUAUUUCUUCCUAAAAAGAAAAGGCGAAAUCAUCUAAUAAUUACUGUAUAAAUGUACAUUUGCCUGGGGGAUUCUACAUUAUAAAAGUAACCAAUGAAAAAGGGAGGAUUAAAUAUUGUUGUCUUCUUCUGAGCAUAGGAAGAAAAAAAAAACUGAAAUCCAAUCUACAAUACUGCAAAAUUACCAUUGAAUAAAAACUUCACCUUGAACAACAUGUCCAGUUUCUCUCUAUUAUUGAAGGAGAGGGUGAUACCCAGUAGCUCUGGUUAAAACAAUUUUUUUUGAGAAGCUAGUUCCAAAUGGUAAAGAUUGAGAGUAACUAAAAGUUAUAUAGCCACCCAAACUUAACAACAAUUGGAUGUAAUGACAGGUAAGUCAGGUGCACACUGUGCAGCGGAGAAGGACGACCAAGAAUCUUGGCAAAAUUGAGAAGAAACCCAGAAGCAGGAGCAACAGGUGCAGCCAUUGAGAGGAAGAACAAAGGCACAACCAGUAUAGAGAUUCCUCAGUGAUGUGGCAAAAAAAACUAACUGAAAUACCAAGAUGCAAAUAUGGUGUUCUAGUAUUCAAAAGAAUAGAGAAGACAAUUAGUUGCAAACUUUUUUUCAAUCCAAAAUGUGUACACACACAAACAUGUAUAUAUGUGUAUGUAUGCAUUUACGUAUAUACAGGGAGGUGUAUAUAGCCAUAUAUACAUAUAUGUAUAGUUGCAUAUAUGUAUAUACAUGAAUAUCCAUACAUACAUAUGUACUAGUUUAUCUGUUGCCACACAUUCGCGUGGCUUUUCCCAGAUUUGAGUGCAGGAAAUGGUUAAUCUAGACCUAUGUAUAUAUCUGUAAAGUUAAUUAUCUGCCGCACUGUUCUAGGAGCUAAUUGGAAGAAUGUAAAAAUAUUGAUUAUAAUCAACAAACAGUAUGAAUUCCUGAAGUGAGAAGAAAGUUUCAAUAAAGUCUAUUAUAUUACAGUGUGAAUACUUCGUCAACCAUACCACGGGCUGAAAAACAAGCAAGCAAUUUUCAAUGAAUGCCACAAAAGGUGAAGCCAAGCAGGGUGGUCAUUGCUGCUAGAAAAGGCACGCCACUGCUAAGCACAAAAAGAGAGAGAUUUACAUUAUGAAAAUUUGGAAAAAGGAGUUGCUCAUCUAGUGCUUUUUGUUACCUAUUCUCUUGCUAGUAAAUAGGACCUACGUUGAGAAUGUAGCACAAGUAUUUGAUAAGGACAAAAAACUCACAUCCAUACAAGACUAAUUAGCAAAAUUAGAAAAUCAAAUGCUGAAAUUUAGUUGGGAAAUAUAGACCAUUGCUGCUUUGGCUCUGAACUUACAAAGCCUAACAUUCAGGUAUUCAAAUUUGUUCAUCUCAGUAUUGCAGUUUAGGUUUUGGACUUUCAUUUCCUAACCAACAAUUUAGCAAAUAUGGUCAGAAUGAUGAUAAAAUUAUGUCGAUGCAAGUAAAUAAAAUACUUGCAUAAAGUACAAGAAGCCAAGGAACUCUCUUAUCAUCCAAUUUAAGCAAAUUCUCAAGCUCACAACAUUCUUGGUGUCAAAUAUACCCGCAGCAUUUGCACUUCUAUUUGUAUGGACUGCCAUUUAAACUAUCCUCCUCUAGGUUGCCAUUAUGUAGACUACACACCUUAGCCUUUCCAUCUUCCCACCACCGCAUUCCUUCUCUCUCGUGUUACCAAGACAGGACUGUCUUCAUGCAUAUUUCACUGAUACAUAACCUUAUGAAUGCAAUGAAUAACUCACAUUCAAUUCAAUUGAGACAUAAUCUUGUGAAUGCAACGUGUUCACAGCACAUACAUAGCUCACAGGAAAUUCUAAAUAUCAUUCCGAUCUAGAUUUGCCAUAGGUAAAUGCCAACAGCACCAUGCCACCAUUUUAAAACUUCAUCAUAGAAAGAGAAGAGCUCCCUGCUCCUACGUAAUAUAUGAACUUCAACAGCAUCGGGAAACACAUAUGAAAAAUAUCAAAUAAUUGAUAUGUCUCUAGAUUCAACCUCCCAGGGUUAAAGCUAAAUACUCCGAAUGGUCGACAGUAAGUCAUAUAUACUCGAUAAAAACACCCAUCUUCAGCACCACUACUUAAAAAAAUGCACAUGCAGCAUUCCUUAGAUGAUGGUUACUCAUCUAGAAUUUAAGCUGCAGUUCAUUUAAUAACCAGAAGCAUUAUAUCAAAGAAGCAACAAUCAGGCUAUCAAAGCCAUAACUCAUCAUGUUAAGUUAAAAGCUAGAUCAAGUCCCUUUGAAUCUUGUUCUGGUGCAUAACAAUGGGUACUCACAUGCAAGGAGUGGAGUAAACAUUCUAUAGCACUUGUAUAGCUUCACCCUCAAAAAAUAAAAACCUUCCACAGGAUCAAGCAAACAUAGAAAACAAGCUGAUUUAUCAUUCACUUGUUUAGCAAUUCUUUUUCUCAACAACUGUAAAAAGAGGGAAAAUAGCCCAGCUACGGGACGUCUCAUAGCCUGUUCUGUAUUGAAGCCAAUGAAAAGUUGUGUACUAUUGAGAGAACUAACCAAACUUGAGCAGAAAAAAUUUCCCUUCAUCCUAUCAUUGCGAUACCAAAUACCCAAACGGAUUUUAUCUUAAUCAUUUAACUGACGAAAUUUGUCGAUUAAGCAAAACAACAAUUAUAAUAAUUAACCAAGAAAUAAAUGAUAUAAACCUGAUUUAUUCACCACUGCCACUACUCUCAGAGUCUUCUGGGACAAAGGAACACUUUAAUACACUUGAUAUCUUCAUACUUAACAACUGCUGGAGACAAAGAAUGGAGCAGGAACAAUAAUUGCUCAUUUGAGGACAAAAAGUUUUCUUCAGCAAAAUAAGUCAAGAGGUUUUAUUUUCCUUCCCAUGAACAUACCUCAUUUGCCUAACAUUCAAAUAAUUGCUCUCAAAGGUAGAAACUAAUAUACCACCUAUAUCCUCUAUCAACCACACAAAAACAGAAUUGCUAUAGAUAAAUAGAAAAACUGAAUUCAAAUACAAAAUUAAUUAAAAAAAAAGUGAUACGUACCACUUAAAAAGCCAUAUAAAAUCAAUUCCCCAAAUAGAAAUCAAUCAAAGAUUAAACUCAAAUUUUAAAAAUUCAAUGAAAAAAAAGAGAAUCUUUGAGCACAAACACCAGCUACAAAGUGCUCACAAUCUAGAAAACAAAGAAACGAAAAUUUGAAAGAAACAAAUAUGACAAAACUUAGGGUAAGAACAAAAUUUUGUAAAAUACCGGAGAGGAAGUAAUGAAUCUGGGUAGUCUCGCCAAGAUGCAUGCCCAUGUGUCUGUGAAAGUGAACGAAGGGUGGUGCGAUUAAAUAGAAGAGGCAGGAAUUGCUAGAUAAUUGUUGAUGAGCUGAGGGAAUUUUUUGUCUUUUAACCAUCGGUUCUCUACGCUCUAUUGUUGUCCCAGAUUAACACUAGAGCUGUGAAAGAUGAAGAUGAUGACACCACAGGUAAAUUUACCUCCAUGCUUGGUCUGUGUAGAAAAGGAGUAUACAAUGGAAGAGAAGCAAUUUGUGGACAAUUGGGAGAUCGGAGUGGGGAGACAGAGUGACAACAAUGGAAGGUUAGAGGAGAGAGUGGAAUUGCUAGGAUGUUUGUCAAGUUCACGGCAAAAGCCACUGGAAUUGUUAAAACUUACAAGAUAACCAGUCCAUUAUCUAACCAAAAGAUGAAGAUGCCCCAAAAAAUUCAACAAAUCCACAAUAAUACCGCAACAGUCUCAGCAGCCAACCAGAGAUCAAAUUAGAUGAUGAAAUCAAUUGAUAACCAAAUAACCACAGCAACUGCUUUAAAUUACCAAAUAACCAAAUCCGGUCAAAAUAAGUGGCCCAGUCAAAAUAAUUGAGCAUCUAAAUUGGAAUUCAAUUGACAAUCCAAUUCCACUCAUUCUCAUCUUUACAAUAUUAAGGAUGUAUAUACUAGUUAUUGAGCAACAUGCCCAGACAGUGUGGAAUGGCAUAUAGAUUUAUAACCGCAAACUGCAGAAACAUACAACUAAAAAAUUACUGUGCAAAGCCACAGCUUCUCCAUUCUGGCUUGCUAAUCUGCUUUAACUGCAGCUUUAAAGCUAUUCAUCAUGUAUUGCAAGAGAUGCACAAACUUCAUGUAAAAACUACAAUCAUAACCAAAAGCAAAAUUACAUUGUCAUAUUACUGAAGAGCUCCAACCUUAGGAAGCUUGCACAUUCUAUCUUUCUCAAGAUAAGAAGGAUAGCAAAGCUCACUAAGAGAAGCAAGUCCAACUAGUAUUUAUUGAUAUCAUGACAUGGUACAAGAUUAAAUUAUAACUCAUUCAGAGAUUAUACUCCUAAUUCAUUUAUUCCGGUGUAAAAUAUGCUAAAAAUAUGUUCUUCGAAGAUGGUAUCUCCCAAGAGAUACUCAAAUUUGUCCCUAAAAGCAAGCAUAAAACCAAAAUAACAAGUGUUGUUCCUUUGAGUACCGGCAUGAAGCCAUGAAUGUAAAAACUUUGAAACAACUUUCUUUGAAUGUAAAAAACCAUGAAUGAUUGAAUGGUCUAUACAAAAAAGCACGAUACCAUGCCAUUUUAUAAUCUUGAUAAGUAAAUCCAUCUGGAAUGAAUCUGACUGAGAAAGAUUUCUUUGAAUAAAGAGAAGUCCAUUCAUUGGGAGAACAAACUUUCUUUAUAAUGCAUUUUGAAUGACUAACAAUUUCAGGGUUCUUUUGAUCAGGAAUAGGAAAAAUUUCCACAGAUUGAGUAUCUGGAAAGAUCAAUUCAUAAUAAUCCAGAUUUUUAGACGGAUCGUCUGGUUGCCAAAAACAUUUUGAAGGAAAGAUUCUUUGAGUAAAGGAAUUAAGAGUGUUAUAAAGAGGAACUUCUUGGAAUCUAGUCAAAGUAAUAUGUUGAGUGAAUGGUUUAGUAAAAUAUGAAUUUUCUUUGACUUUUUCUGAGGUUCUUGGAAUCUGUUGAAUGGGUCUUAUUUGAGAAGAAAUUGGGGUACGAGCAGCUUGACUAUAAGUCAAUGCUGGAAAAUCUUGCAAUAAUUGGAAUCGAUUUUGAGUUACAGGAGUAAUACUCAUCUCAUAGUCUUGAGGAGUCUUAGGUCUUCCUGCUUUUGAAUCCAUGAUCCUGCAAAAUUCAAAGUCAAAAAAUAAAGUUGUUGAGUUUCUCUCGAAGCUGUUUAAUUUGUUGGUCAUAAUAUUGAAUCUCUUCUUGAGGAUGACCGGCUUUUUUGAGGACAUCUUUAAAGAUAAUAUUGGAAUUAAUUUGUCUUGUGAGAAGAAAGGCUUUUUCUUUUGGAGUCUGAACAGACCAAAAACUUGGUCGAAUAUAAACUGGGGAAUGAUUUUGAAUCUGAUGAUGAGGAAUAGGCUGAAUUUGUCCUUGUGAAUUUUUAAUAUAGUAAGUAUGAUAUCUAUGGGAAAUGUUUUUAUCUUUUCUUUGAAGAAUAGGAUCGUCCCUUUCUUUUCUCCGCCUGCGAAUAUAUUCUUUGUGGGUUUCACGUUCCAUUUCCCUGUAAAAAUUCUCUAGUCAAGAAGUCAGGGAGAGAAUUAUUUUCUCCUUUAAUAAAUUCUAUUUCGAAAUCAAAUACAGAUAGAAUUGCUUGCCAUCUAGCAAAUAUUUGUUUUGAAACAAUAUUUUGAACAUCUUUUUGUAAAACUUCUUUUGCUGAUUUACAAUCUAUUCUAAAUAAAAAAUUUUUAUUAUAUAAAUCAUCUUGAAAUUUUGAUAUACAUAGUACUAUAGAUAAAAUUUCCUUUUUGAUAGUGAAAUAAUUCUUUUGUGGACCGGACCAAGUUUCUGAAUGGAAUCUAACUAAUUCUUCUUUUAGAUCAUCUAUUUUUUGUUUUAGAAUUCCUCCAUAUCCUAAUUCUGAUGCAUCUGUUUCGACUAUCAUAAAGGCUUUAGGAUGAGGAAGACAUAAACAUGGUAAUGAUUCAAUUUUCUCUUUAAGAUAUUUAAUUUUUUGAGUAUGUUCUUCAGUCCAUGGUUUAGGGUUUUUCUUUAAUCUAUCAAACAAUAUAGCACAUUCUUGUCUUAAUUUAGGAAAGAAAUCUGCAAUGUAAUUUAAACAUCCUAAAAAUCUUUGUAAUUGAUUUUUCUCUUUUAUUUCAUCUGGAAAUUUGCUUGCAAAUUCUAAAUCUCUAUUUAUUGGUUUUAUUGUUCCUUCAUUUAUAUCAUGUCCUAAAAAUCUUACUUUAGUUUGGAAUAGUUUCAUUUUUUAUGCUGAAACAAGUAACCCAUUUUUCUUAACUACCUUUAGAAAUAUAUUUAAAUGUUUAAAAUGUUGUUCUAAUGAUUCUGAAAAGAUUAAUACAUCAUCUAUAUAAACUAUGCUAAAUGAACUAUAAGGAUUAAAUAUAUCAUUCAUUAUAUUUUGAAAUUCUGAAGGUGCAUUUUUUAAUCCAAAUGGCAUUACCUUCGAUUCAUAGUGUCCAAAGGGUGUUGUAAAUGCUGUUUUAUAUCUGUCUUCAUAGGCUAUUAAUAUCUGCCAAUAUCCUGACUUCAUAUCAAAUUUUGAAAAUAUUUUUGCAUUAUGUAAUCUAUUUAAUAAAUCCUUUUUAUUUGGAAUUGGAUACCUAAUCCAUUGCAAAACUUUAUUUAAUGGUUUAUAAUUAAUAACUAAUCUUGGAACUCCUCUUUCUUUCUCCGCUUGAUUCAUGACAUAAAACGCUGCGCAACUCCAAGGUGAUUUUGAAGGUGUUAUUAAUCCUUUAUCCAGUAAUGAUUGUAUCUCUUAAAGCUAGAUAUAUAGGAGCAUCUACUCCUAGAUGGAAUAAAGGUUUUACUGCAACUUGAAUUAAACCUAUAUGAAUAUAUCUAUAUCCUUUACUAAGAUAUUUCUGAAUUGUAUUAUGAUUUAAUAACGGAAUUGUUUGAUAUUCUUCUUGAAUAGAAAUCGUUUCCUCAUGAGUUUUAACUGAUAAUGCUGUUUUGAAAUCUAAUGGGUCUAUUCUAUAAAUAUGUUCUAUUUUUUCUUCUGGAAUAGUCCAAUCUGAAUUGUUUACAGGCAUAUGAUAUUCAUGACUUUGUACUGUAUUUACUUGUUUUGAAUUAGGUCCUAUCUUAAAUUGUCUACGAAAUGCAGCCAUGGUUAAUAUUUUAUUUAGUCUUUUAUCUUAUCAGGAACAAUCGAGCUUAUGCGUGGAACAUCCUAUCCUGGACUUACCAACCGACUUACAAAACUUCAAAAUCUUACCAAUGAUAGGAUAAAAUCGUAAAUGAAAUAUAUAACUUAAAAGCAUAAAUUAGAAAUUUAAUAUAGGAAAUAAUUCAAAAUUAGCAAUAUCUAUGGUCUGGCUCUGAUACCAGAACCUACCCAGGCAUAUGAAAGCAUAUAUGAAUGCAUAUAAAGUUUAGAGAAAUCAGACUUACAAUUAAUCAGAGUGAUAUUAGCAAUGGAAGCUUUAAAUUUCAGAGGCUUUUGGAUGAGAUCAAACUUCGAACUUCUAUUGAACUUCUUGAAUUAAAGGGCGUACAAAGAAAUAUAAAAACUGGAAGAGGAAGGUUUACAGAGAGAAAUUCUUAAAUUGGCUAAAAGACUCGAUGCCCUUUCCUUUGAUAUUGAAUCCUAUUUAUAGAGACUUCUUUCUGUGAAUUUCAUUUGCAUUUUCAUGCCGACACUUUCAUGCCGACACUUUCAUUUGAAUGUUAUUUACUUUUCUUGCCGACACCUUAUCUUCUUGUAAUUGGUCCUUUUGAGAUUCUUAUCCUAUCUUGAAAUCGAUAUCUUUGAGAUUGGCCGACAACUUUAUUAAAAGUCUGUCGGGUCUUGAGCGCAUGGGCCACCAAAAGGAUCAAAAGUGGAUUCUGAUGAUGAUCCGGCUGACUCAUCUUUUUUGUCUUCUUCCUUUUUGUCUUGAUUUUGCAAAUAAUUCAGAUAUUCCUUGAGCAUUUCUGGAUUUUGCAUCAUCUUUUUCAUCAGGAAAUGAUUUGCAACUGUUUUCGUUGUUGAGCAGUUUUCUUUUUCUUUCUUUUGUGGGGUUGUUGGAAUGUUAACUCCUUUGGUAUUUUGCUGAUUUGGAUUUAUCCAUUUGAGCUUCUCUCCUGUUUCCAAGAAUCUUAAAACAUUUCUCUGGUCACAGAAUUCUUGAUUGAAUCCUAUCCACCAUUUGAUCUUGAAUUCUCGAACUAGUGACAUUGGAAGUGAUUUUUCAAGUUCUUGAUGAAUUUUGAAACUCUAGCAAAAAAUUCAUGGUACUUUGAAUUCCAUAUGGAAUAAUAUUGGUCUUGUCCAAAAGUAAUAUUUUCGAAUGAAAUAACAUCUGUUCCCAUUUCUUUUUGUAAAUUAUCCCUUAUUCUUUGUGAAAAUAAAUUUGGUAAUCCUGUAAUAAAUCUUUCUUUCCAAAAUGAAGCAUUACAAUCUGGUCUUCUUAAUACAUUUGUUAAAAACAUAUCUUUAUACCAUCUAAAAUCUGACAAAGUUGGACAUCUUAAAUUUGUUAAAAAUGUUUUAUUUGCAUUUAACUCUUCUUUUGGAUUUCCUACAAAAUACAUUACUAUAGUAACAAUUAAAAAUUCUGCAGCAUCUGAUUGUACUUGAAUAUUACCUUGAUCAUCUUCUACUUCUAUUGUAUGAUCUAAUAUUGAUAAUUUAUCUUGAAAUGUUAAAGCAUUAUCCUACCAAUUUUUUAAUUGUCCGGUAAAUCCUGAUACUAGUAAUGUUGCAAUAUUUCUUUCUUGAAUAUUUUUUAACUUAUAAGCUAGUCUUGCCAUUCCCAUUUCUUGUAAAGUGUUUAAUACUUCAUAUUCUGCUCUUCCGUUUAUAUUUCAUUCAUAAAUUGAAUCUCCAUCAUAUUUUGUGGUAUGAAAUUUUGAUCUUUCUUCAUAUUGGAUAUCUGGGGGACUAGGUCUUGGAUAAUAAUUUCUAGUGCUUACUAUUUGCCAAUCUUUUUUAUUAUUUUUAAAAGGUCUUUUUCUUCUUAUUUUAUUUAUUUGAUUGUUAUCUUCUUCUUUAAAUUGCUCUUCUAUAGGUAAAAUUAUAUCUUCAUUAUUUUUCGAGUAGCUUGAUUCUUCUGAUGAUAUUUCUUCGUUUAUUAUAUUAUCUAAUGUAUUUAUUCUAGGAGUUUGAGUCUGAGCUUCUGUUGUUAGACUUUGCAAUGUUUGAGAUAUUCUAUUUAAUAUAUUAUAUGUAUUAUUUAUUCUUUGAGUAUUAACGCUUUGAAUUAAUUCUUGCUCUCUAUCUCUUGUUAAGCUUCUAGGUUGAAAAUGUGGUGCUGAAACAUCAUUAGGAAAUUUUGUAACUGGUUUCUGAAUACUGUCUAUUUUAGUACUUAUUACUUCUAUAUGUUGUGAUAUAGUAUGCAGAAUUUGAUUUGUGUAAUUAUUUUGUUGGUAUAAUUUUUUAAUAUCAUCUAGAUUCACAUUAUUGCUAGUACUACUUGCUUCUGCUUCGCGUCCUUUUUUGAAAGGGGAUGCAAUAACUUCUCCUUGUCCUAAAUUAAUUUUUACUUCUUGUAAUGGAGGAUGAAUUAAGGUUACUAUUUGAUCGUCUUUUAAUUUUCAUUUUUUAUAUAAACUAGUUUGAACAUUUAUCUGUGGUGUAUUAUAUAUAUCAAUUAUUCCUGUUUUUGAAAUGUAAAAUGAUAACCAAGUAAAGAAGGGAAAAUCAAAUUUUCUAUUUUCUAAUUCUUUUUUCCAUUCUAAUAUUAAUUUUUCUUUACACUCUGGCGACAAUUGAAAAAAUCAAAUUCUUUUUUCUGUAUUUUCUUCAUCAUCAAAAUCUUCUUGUAAAUAUUUAUGAUUUAUUUUAUAUUUUUUACUUAUUACAUUUAUUUCACCUCGCAUUUGAGAAUGUGUUGGGGAAUAUUCUGAUUUAUUUUGAUUAAUUACUUCUAGAACAGGAGUUUUAAAUUUAAAUGUUGAGGAACUUUCUGGAAUAAAAGUUGUAUCACUUGAUUCAUAACUAGAUCUUCUAGCCGGAAUCCAUGAAUGACUUGAAGUUGAAGAUCUUUCUCUAAAUGAAGAAAAUCUUAACAAAACUUUUCCAUCAGGUUCUUCUAUAAUAUCUUCUACAUUUGUUUGCUCUAUGUUUCUUGGUGCUUGUGGAUUUUGAAUUAUAAAUUCAUUAGGUAUACUUAUUUCGUUCCAUUUUAAUCUUUUGGGAGUAUAAAUAGUAGGCCUAUCUGCAUCAACUUGCAAUAAUGUUGUUUCAUCUUUUAAAGUUGGAGUCAUGAUAAAUUUUGGAUUUAGUUGAGAGGACAAUGGUCUAUAAUACAUUUUAUAGAUUAUAGCAAAAUUCUUAGUAUGUUUUUCAAAUUCAUCACCUUGUAAAUGAAUAUCUAAUAUGACUGAAUUCAGAACAUGUGGAUCUGUUAAGUCUACUGAAAAAUUUGGAGCACAGUUAAAGUAAAUUGGUCCAUUACAUACAUUUGUUUGAAUCAUAGAUAAAAGAGAGGUUUUAUAUCUUUUGAGUCUUGUAUCUCUUAAAGUUAGAUAUAUAGGAGCAUCUACUCCUAGAUGGAAUAAAGGUUUUACUGCAACUUGAAUUAAACCUAUAUGAAUAUAUCUAUAUCAUUUACUAAAAUAUUUCUGAAUUGUAUCAUGAUUUAAUAACGGAAUUGUUUGAUAUUCUUUUUGAAUAGAAAUCGUUUCCUCAUAAGUUUUAACUGAUAAUGCUGUUUUGAAAUCUAAUGGGCCUAUUCUAUGAAUAUGUUCAAAAUUUCUCCUUAUCCAUUAAUCCAUGUAAGCAAGAGCAGGAUCCUUGUAAAUCUCCUCUAUAACCCAUUUUGGGGGGAGAAAAUCUAAACAACGAAAUGCCAGACAAUAAUUUGUAAACGUACCUCAUUUGGUCCCCAUCUGGUGUUCACGAAGGCGCCGACGGCGAAGACAGCGGCUAAGAAGAGUAAACCCCAUAUAUCGUUAAAUCUUUGGUUGCAGUUGUUGAUCUUUUCCUGCAACUUUGUAACCUCAAGCUGCAUUUCCAUUUGCUUGGCGCUCAAAUUGGCAACUUCCGACGCUUUAACUGCCGUGGCACGGGCCUCCCUAUCCAGCAUCUGCUCCAAUUUCUUUUGCAAUAACACGAGACCUGUGGCGAUUGAUCCCGUGACGACCGAUGAUAAAGCUAAAUCGCCAAGGUUAAUGUCAGUCUCGCCUGGGGCUGAGGUUGGGGUUUGGGUUGCAGGGGUCGGGGUCCCGGUCCCGGACGUAGGGGUCGGGACUGGGAAUUGGGUAGGGAUCGGGGUCGGUGUGGAGGUCACGGUUGGGGUCGGGUCAGCCACAGAAAUGGGGGUGGAUUGGGACUCGACGGUUGAAAACCGUCUUCUCACCUCUGUAAAUCUGGGAACAACAUUUGGAUGGCAGUAAAUGAUACUGGUAGCGAGAAAAAUAGGCAUGAAAACAAGAUUUAACAAGUAAACUAAACUUAGAACAAGUUUUCAUUUGAUGUCCGGAACUCUAAUUUUAGUAGGUUUAAAGCGUGUACGAUGUCUUCCAUCACAUAUUUGCUUGCUGUAAAUAUAAUAUGAAUGAGACUUUGCAUCUCUGUACACCGAUCGUGUAAUCUUGAACUCUUGAUUACUUGAACUAAACAAAUGGAAACUUGUUCUGAGUUUAGUUUACUUGUUGACGCUCCGCAGAAAUUUAAUAGCUUAGAGAAAGUUGCGCAGACAUUUACCUGAUUUUUGCUUUGCCAAUCCACAUUUGGAUUUCGGGGAUGUUUUGGAUUGUAAGGAUGGGAGCUCUGGCCGGAAACGGAAACGGAUUUUAAUCCACUAAGAACGGUUAGAAGUUAAAUGGAGGCCUGUGUCUUUUGCCCUAAUAAGUAAUAAGUAGCAGCGAUUUUUAUUUUUCUUUUAAAUGAGGAGGGAGGCUUGCUUGUUAAAUUGAGAGUUUAAAUUACCAAACCAAUUUAUGAAUGUCCCAUUACAAGAAAUUGCAAAGGCAACUUAUAACAGCAAAUCUUAAAGAUUAAUUCUCACACAUGGCAUACUUCCUUAUAUUGCAAUUAAACAAUUUCAUUAUCAAGAGAAAAGCAUAAAGCCAUUCUAGUUCUAAACACUAAACCAUAGGCAUGGAACCCUGCGUUUAGCAUCACUAUGAAUUCAUCAAGAUAAAUGUAUCCAGCCAACCGUAACACUACAAGAGAAAAAUAAGUAUCCAGUCAAUCAUAACACUACAAACAAAAGUAACCCAUGCAUAGCAUACGUGUUUAAACAAUUUUCAUCACUAAAGUUGCACAACAAGCUCAGUUUAUAUUAGCUUAGAGGGCUCUAAAACAUCACCAACAGCAGAUAUCCAGGUCUGCCUUCCAUAUUCCCCCUACUUAGGUUUCAUCAUAUCUGCAGAAGAAGAAACAGAAUUUCAAUCAGGAGUGCAAUCUCAUGCAGUAGAAUAAGAAAACAAGUACUCUUAUGAAACUCAGAAGGCCAAAGGAGGUCAUGUUGCCUCACCUUUGUCACGGCCAAUACAAGGCUGACACAUUAACCUUCAUAUUCACAACCAAGAUAUUACUGUAAAAGUUGAAUGCAUACCAUGAAGCACAGUUAAACAUGAUGGAACAUUACAAGGACCAUAUUGUUAUCGACUGGUACCACAUUAUGCAGAAUGCAGAACAUUCCUACAAUAUCUUUUGAACCUGUGGAGUAGGAGGAUAAACACAAGCACACACCUAUGCAGGCACACAACUGAACUCAUCCAAAUAGAAAUUCAAAGACAUUGCUCAUAUUUUUCCAAUUAAAUUAAAUGACUAGAAACUUGAGUUUGCCAUCCAAAAAAAAAAUUGAAAGAAGAAAAUAAAACAUGAUUACCACUAAAAAAAUUGAAAGAAGAAAACAAUGAUAAUCACUAAAAAGAAAUUGAAAGAAGAGAAAAAAAUUGUUAUCACUAUAAGGUGCAACCUUCAACGAUUAGAACCUCAAAAUACUCAAUGCAAGAAUUCACCUUAGGAUUUUGAAGACCUUCAAGCACCCAUCAUCAAUCUUUUAGAAUCAACAACCAUCUAAUCCCAUUCUCAUCAAAACGGUCCAAUGUCCAAGAAUUGAAGGAAAAUGACGUAUCUAUUUCUUCCUAAAAAGAAAAGGCGAAAUCUUCUAAUAAUUACUGUAUAAAUGUACAUUUGCCUGGGGGAUUCUACAUUAUAAAAGUAACCAAUGAAAAAGGGAGGAUUAAAUAUCGUUGUCUUCUUCUGAGCAUAGGAAGAAAAAAAAAACUGAAAUCCAAUCUACAAUACUGCAAAAUUACCAUUGAAUAAAAACUUCACCUUGAACAACAUGUCCAGUUUCUCUCUAUUAUUGAAGGAGAGGGUGAUACCCAGUAGCUCUGGUUAAAACAAUUUUUUUUGAGAAGCUAGUUCCAAAUGGUAAAGAUUGAGAGUAACUAAAAGUUAUAUAGCCACCCAAACUUAACAACAAUUGGAUGUAAUGACAGGUAAGUCAGGUGCACACUGUGCAGCGGAGAAGGACGACCAAGAAUCUUGGCAAAAUUGAGAAGAAACCCAGAAGCAGGAGCAACAGGUGCAGCCAUUGAGAGGAAGAACAAAGGCACAACCAGUAUAGAGAUUCCUCAGUGAUGUGGCAAAAAAAACUAACUGAAAUACCAAGAUGCAAAUAUGGUGUUCUAGUAUUCAAAAGAAUAGAGAAGACAAUUAGUUGCAAACUUUUUUUCAAUCCAAAAUGUGUACACACACAAACAUGUAUAUAUGUGUAUGUAUGCAUUUACGUAUAUACAGGGAGGUGUAUAUAGCCAUAUAUACAUAUAUGUAUAGUUGCAUAUAUGUAUAUACAUGAAUAUCCAUACAUACAUAUGUACUAGUUUAUCUGUUGCCACACAUUCGCGUGGCUUUUCCCAGAUUUGAGUGCAGGAAAUGGUUAAUCUAGACCUAUGUAUAUAUCUGUAAAGUUAAUUAUCUGCCGCACUGUUCUAGGAGCUAAUUGGAAGAAUGUAAAAAUAUUGAUUAUAAUCAACAAACAGUAUGAAUUCCUGAAGUGAGAAGAAAGUUUCAAUAAAGUCUAUUAUAUUACAGUGUGAAUACUUCGUCAACCAUACCACGGGCUGAAAAACAAGCAAGCAAUUUUCAAUGAAUGCCACAAAAGGUGAAGCCAAGCAGGGUGGUCAUUGCUGCUAGAAAAGGCACGCCACUGCUAAGCACAAAAAGAGAGAGAUUUACAUUAUGAAAAUUUGGAAAAAGGAGUUGCUCAUCUAGUGCUUUUUGUUACCUAUUCUCUUGCUAGUAAAUAGGACCUACGUUGAGAAUGUAGCACAAGUAUUUGAUAAGGACAAAAAACUCACAUCCAUACAAGACUAAUUAGCAAAAUUAGAAAAUCAAAUGCUGAAAUUUAGUUGGGAAAUAUAGACCAUUGCUGCUUUGGCUCUGAACUUACAAAGCCUAACAUUCAGGUAUUCAAAUUUGUUCAUCUCAGUAUUGCAGUUUAGGUUUUGGACUUUCAUUUCCUAACCAACAAUUUAGCAAAUAUGAUCAGAAUGAUGAUAAAAUUAUGUCGAUGCAAGUAAAUAAAAUACUUGCAUAAAGUACAAGAAGCCAAGGAACUCUCUUAUCAUCCAAUUUAAGCAAAUUCUCAAGCUCACAACAUUCUUGGUGUCAAAUAUACCCGCAGCAUUUGCACUUCUAUUUGUAUGGACUGCCAUUUAAACUAUCCUCCUCUAGGUUGCCAUUAUGUAGACUACACACCUUAGCCUUUCCAUCUUCCCACCACCGCAUUCCUUCUCUCUCGUGUUACCAAGACAGGACUGUCUUCAUGCAUAUUUCACUGAUACAUAACCUUAUGAAUGCAAUGAAUAACUCACAUUCAAUUCAAUUGAGACAUAAUCUUGUGAAUGCAACGUGUUCACAGCACAUACAUAGCUCACAGGAAAUUCUAAAUAUCAUUCCGAUCUAGAUUUGCCAUAGGUAAAUGCCAACAGCACCAUGCCACCAUUUUAAAACUUCAUCAUAGAAAGAGAAGAGCUCCCUGCUCCUACGUAAUAUAUGAACUUCAACAGCAUCGGGAAACACAUAUGAAAAAUAUCAAAUAAUUGAUAUGUCUCUAGAUUCAACCUCCCAGGGUUAAAGCUAAAUACUCCGAAUGGUCGACAGUAAGUCAUAUAUACUCGAUAAAAACACCCAUCUUCAGCACCACUACUUAAAAAAAUGCACAUGCAGCAUUCCUUAGAUGAUGGUUACUCAUCUAGAAUUUAAGCUGCAGUUCAUUUAAUAACCAGAAGCAUUAUAUCAAAGAAGCAACAAUCAGGCUAUCAAAGCCAUAACUCAUCAUGUUAAGUUAAAAGCUAGAUCAAGUCCCUUUGAAUCUCGUUCUGGUGCAUAACAAUGGGUACUCACAUGCAAGGAGUGGAGUAAACAUUCUAUAGCACUUAUAUAGCUUCACCCUCAAAAAAUAAAAACCUUCCACAGGAUCAAGCAAACAUAGAAAACAAGCUGAUUUAUCAUUCACUUGUUUAGCAAUUCUUUUUCUCAACAACUGUAAAAAGAGGGAAAAUAGCCCAGCUACGGGACGUCUCAUAGCCUGUUCUGUAUUGAAGCCAAUGAAAAGUUGUGUACUAUUGAGAGAACUAACCAAACUUGAGCAGAAAAAAUUUCCCUUCAUCCUAUCAUUGCGAUACCAAAUACCCAAACGGAUUUUAUCUUAAUCAUUUAACUGACGAAAUUUGUCGAUUAAGCAAAACAACAAUUAUAAUAAUUAAUCAAGAAAUAAAUGAUAUAAACCUGAUUUAUUCACCACUGCCACUACUCUCAGAGUCUUCUGGGACAAAGGAACACUUUAAUACACUUGAUAUCUUCAUACUUAACAACUGCUGGAGACAAAGAAUGGAGCAGGAACAAUAAUUGCUCAUUUGAGGACAAAAAGUUUUCUUCAGCAAAAUAAGUCAAGAGGUUUUAUUUUCCUUCCCAUGAACAUACCUCAUUUGCCUAACAUUCAAAUAAUUGCUCUCAAAGGUAGAAACUAAUAUACCACCUAUAUCCUCUAUCAACCACACAAAAACAGAAUUGCUAUAGAUAAAUAGAAAAACUGAAUUCAAAUACAAAAUUAAUUAAAAAAAAAAGUGAUACGUACCACUUAAAAAGCCAUAUAAAAUCAAUUCCCCAAAUAGAAAUCAAUCAAAGAUUAAACUCAAAUUUUAAAAAUUCAAUGAAAAAAAAGAGAAUCUUUGAGCACAAACACCAGCUACAAAGUGCUCACAAUCUAGAAAACAAAGAAACGAAAAUUUGAAAGAAACAAAUAUGACAAAACUUAGGGUAAGAACAAAAUUUUGUAAAAUACCGGAGAGGAAGUAAUGAAUCUGGGUAGUCUCGCCAAGAUGCAUGCCCAUGUGUCUGUGAAAGUGAACGAAGGGUGGUGCGAUUAAAUAGAAGAGGCAGGAAUUGCUAGAUAAUUGUUGAUGAGCUGAGGGAAUUUUUUGUCUUUUAACCAUCGGCUCUCUACGCUCUAUUGUUGUCCCAGAUUAACACUAGAGCUGUGAAAGAUGAAGAUGAUGACACCACAGGUAAAUUUACCUCCAUGCUUGGUCUGUGUAGAAAAGGAGUAUACAAUGGAAGAGAAGCAAUUUGUGGACAAUUGGGAGAUCGGAGUGGGGAGACAGAGUGACAACAAUGGAAGGUUAGAGGAGAGAGUGGAAUUGCUAGGAUGUUUGUCAAGUUCACGGCAAAAGCCACUGGAAUUGUUAAAACUUACAAGAUAACCAGUCCAUUAUCUAACCAAAAGAUGAAGAUGCCCCAAAAAAUUCAACAAAUCCACAAUAAUACCGCAACAGUCUCAGCAGCCAACCAGAGAUCAAAUUAGAUGAUGAAAUCAAUUGAUAACCAAAUAACCACAGCAACUGCUUUAAAUUACCAAAUAACCAAAUCCGGUCAAAAUAAGUGGCCCAGUCAAAAUAAUUGAGCAUCUAAAUUGGAAUUCAAUUGACAAUCCAAUUCCACUCAUUCUCAUCUUUACAAUAUUAAGGAUGUAUAUACUAGUUAUUGAGCAACAUGCCCAGACAGUGUGGAAUGGCAUAUAGAUUUAUAGCCGCAAACUGCAGAAACAUACAACUAAAAAAUUACUGUGCAAAGCCACAGCUUCUCCAUUCUGGCUUGCUAAUCUGCUUUAACUGCAGCUUUAAAGCUAUUCAUCAUGUAUUGCAAGAGAUGCACAAACUUCAUGUAAAAACUACAAUCAUAACCAAAAGCAAAAUUACAUUGUCAUAUUACUGAAGAGCUCCAACCUUAGGAAGCUUGCACAUUCUAUCUUUCUCAAGAUAAGAAGGAUAGCAAAGCUCACUAAGAGAAGCAAGUCCAACUAGUAUUUAUUGAUAUCAUGACAUGGUACAAGAUUAAAUUAUAACUCAUUCAGAGAUUAUACUCCUAAUUCAUUUAUUCCGGUGUAAAAUAUGCUAAAAAUAUGUUCUUCGAAGAUGGUAUCUCCCAAGAGAUACUCAAAUUUGUCCCUAAAAGCAAGCAUAAAACCAAAAUAACAAGUGUUGUUCCUUUGAGUACCGGCAUGAAGCCAUGAAUGUAAAAACUUUGAAACAACUUUCUUUGAAUGUAAAAAACCAUGAAUGAUUGAAUGGUCUAUACAAAAAAGCACGAUACCAUGCCAUUUUAUAAUCUUGAUAAGUAAAUCCAUCUGGAAUGAAUCUGACUGAGAAAGAUUUCUUUGAAUAAAGAGAAGUCCAUUCAUUGGGAGAACAAACUUUCUUUAUAAUGCAUUUUGAAUGACUAACAAUUUCAGGGUUCUUUUGAUCAGGAAUAGGAAAAAUUUCCACAGAUUGAGUAUCUGGAAAGAUCAAUUCAUAAUAAUCCAGAUUUUUAGACGGAUCGUCUGGUUGCCAAAAACAUUUUGAAGGAAAGAUUCUUUGAGUAAAGGAAUUAAGAGUGUUAUAAAGAGGAACUUCUUGGAAUCUAGUCAAAGUAAUAUGUUGAGUGAAUGGUUUAGUAAAAUAUGAAUUUUCUUUGACUUUUUCUGAGGUUCUUGGAAUCUGUUGAAUGGGUCUUAUUUGAGAAGAAAUUGGGGUACGAGCAGCUUGACUAUAAGUCAAUGCUGGAAAAUCUUGCAAUAAUUGGAAUCGAUUUUGAGUUACAGGAGUAAGACUCAUCUCAUAGUCUUGAGGAGUCUUAGGUCUUCCUGCUUUUGAAUCCAUGAUCCUGCAAAAUUCAAAGUCAAAAAAUAAAGUUGUUGAGUUUCUCUCGAAGCUGUUUAAUUUGUUGGUCAUAAUAUUGAAUCUCUUCUUGAGGAUGACCGGCUUUUUUGAGGACAUCUUUAAAGAUAAUAUUGGAAUUAAUUUGUCUUGUGAGAAGAAAGGCUUUUUCUUUUGGAGUCUGAACAGACCAAAAACUUGGUCGAAUAUAAACUGGGGAAUGAUUUUGAAUCUGAUGAUGAGGAAUAGGCUGAAUUUGUCCUUGUGAAUUUUUAAUAUAGUAAGUAUGAUAUCUAUGGGAAAUGUUUUUAUCUUUUCUUUGAAGAAUAGGAUCGUCCCUUUCUUUUCUCCGCCUGCGAAUAUAUUCUUUGUGGGUUUCACGUUCCAUUUCCCUGUAAAAAUUCUCUAGUCAAGAAGUCAGGGAGAGAAUUAUUUUCUCCUUUAAUAAAUUCUAUUUCGAAAUCAAAUACAGAUAGAAUUGCUUGCCAUCUAGCAAAUAUUUGUUUUGAAACAAUAUUUUGAACAUCUUUUUGUAAAACUUCUUUUGCUGAUUUACAAUCUAUUCUAAAUAAAAAAUUUUUAUUAUAUAAAUCAUCUUGAAAUUUUGAUAUACAUAGUACUAUAGAUAAAAUUUCCUUUUUGAUAGUGAAAUAAUUCUUUUGUGGACCGGACCAAGUUUCUGAAUGGAAUCUAACUAAUUCUUCUUUUAGAUCAUCUAUUUUUUGUUUUAGAAUUCCUCCAUAUCCUAAUUCUGAUUCAUCUGUUUCGACUAUCAUAAAGGCUUUAGGAUGAGGAAGACAUAAACAUGGUAAUGAUUCAAUUUUCUCUUUAAGAUAUUUAAUUUUUUGAGUAUGUUCUUCAGUCCAUGGUUUAGGGUUUUUCUUUAAUCUAUCAAACAAUAUAGCACAUUCUUGUCUUAAUUUAGGAAAGAAAUCUGCAAUGUAAUUUAAACAUCCUAAAAAUCUUUGUAAUUGAUUUUUCUCUUUUAUUUCAUCUGGAAAUUUACUUGCAAAUUCUAAAUCUCUAUUUAUUGGUUUUAUUGUUCCUUCAUUUAUAUCAUAUCCUAAAAAUCUUACUUUAGUUUGGAAUAGUUUCAUUUUUUAUGCUGAAACAAGUAACCCAUUUUUCUUAACUACCUUUAGAAAUAUAUUUAAAUGUUUAAAAUGUUGUUCUAAUGAUUCUGAAAAGAUUAAUACAUCAUCUAUAUAAACUAUGCUAAAUGAACUAUAAGGAUUAAAUAUAUCAUUCAUUAUAUUUUGAAAUUCUGAAGGUGCAUUUUUUAAUCCAAAUGGCAUUACCUUCCAUUCAUAGUGUCCAAAGGGUGUUGUAAAUGCUGUUUUAUAUCUGUCUUCAUAGGCUAUUAAUAUCUGCCAAUAUCCUGACUUCAUAUCAAAUUUUGAAAAUAUUUUUGCAUUAUGUAAUCUAUUUAAUAAAUUCUUUUUAUUUGGAAUUGGAUACCUAAUCCAUUGCAAAACUUUAUUUAAUGGUUUAUAAUUAAUAACUAAUCUUGGAACUCCUCUUUCUUUCUCCGCUUGAUUCAUGACAUAAAACGCAGCACAACUCCAAGGUGAUUUUGAAGGUGUUAUUAAUCCUUUAUCCAGUAAUGCUUGUAUCUCUUAAAGCUAGAUAUAUAGGAGCAUCUACUCCUAGAUGGAAUAAAGGUUUUACUGCAACUUGAAUUAAACCUAUAUGAAUAUAUCUAUAUCCUUUACUAAGAUAUUUCUGAAUUGUAUUAUGAUUUAAUAACGGAAUUGUUUGAUAUUCUUCUUGAAUAGAAAUCGUUUCCUCAUGAGUUUUAACUGAUAAUGCUGUUUUGAAAUCUAAUGGGUCUAUUCUAUAAAUAUGUUCUAUUUUUUCUUCUGGAAUAGUCCAAUCUGAAUUGUUUACAGGCAUAUGAUAUUCAUGACUUUGUACUGUAUUUACUUGUUUUGAAUUAGGUCCUAUCUUAAAUUGUCUACGAAAUGCAGCCAUGGUUAAUAUUUUAUUUAGUCUUUUAUCUUAUCAGGAACAAUCGAGCUUAUGCGUGGAACAUCCUAUCCUGGACUUACCAACCGACUUACAAAACUUCAAAAUCUUACCAAUGAUAGGAUAAAAUCGUAAAUGAAAUAUAUAACUUAAAAGCAUAAAUUAGAAAUUUAAUAUAGGAAAUAAUUCAAAAUUAGCAAUAUCUAUGGUCUGGCUCUGAUACCAGAACCUACCCAGGCAUAUGAAAGCAUAUAUGAAUGCAUAUAAAGUUUAGAGAAAUCAGACUUACAAUUAAUCAGAGUGAUAUUAGCAAUGGAAGCUUUAAAUUUCAGAGGCUUUUGGAUGAGAUCAAACUUCGAACUUCUAUUGAACUUCUUGAAUUAAAGGGCGUACAAAGAAAUAUAAAAACUGGAAGAGGAAGGUUUACAGAGAGAAAUUCUUAAAUUGGCUAAAAGACUCGAUGCCCUUUCCUUUGAUAUUGAAUCCUAUUUAUAGAGACUUCUUUCUGUGAAUUUCAUUUGCAUUUUCAUGCCGACACUUUCAUGCCGACACUUUCAUUUGAAUGUUAUUUACUUUUCUUGCCGACACCUUAUCUUCUUGUAAUUGGUCCUUUUGAGAUUCUUAUCCUAUCUUGAAAUCGAUAUCUUUGAGAUUGGCCGACAACUUUAUUAAAAGUCUGUCGGGUCUUGAGCGCAUGGGCCACCAAAAGGAUCAAAAGUGGAUUCUGAUGAUGAUCCGGCUGACUCAUCUUUUUUGUCUUCUUCCUUUUUGUCUUGAUUUUGCAAAUAAUUCAGAUAUUCCUUGAGCAUUUCUGGAUUUUGCAUCAUCUUUUUCAUCAGGAAAUGAUUUGCAACUGUUUUCGUUGUUGAGCAGUUUUCUUUUUCUUUCUUUUGUGGGGUUGUUGGAAUGUUAACUCCUUUGGUAUUUUGCUGAUUUGGAUUUAUCCAUUUGAGCUUCUCUCCUGUUUCCAAGAAUCUUAAAACAUUUCUCUGGUCACAGAAUUCUUGAUUGAAUCCUAUCCACCAUUUGAUCUUGAAUUCUCGAACUAGUGACAUUGGAAGUGAUUUUUCAAGUUCUUGAUGAAUUUUGAAACUCUAGCAAAAAAUUCAUGGUACUUUGAAUUCCAUAUGGAAUAAUAUUGGUCUUGUCCAAAAGUAAUAUUUUCGAAUGAAAUAACAUCUGUUCCCAUUUCUUUUUGUAAAUUAUCCCUUAUUCUUUGUGAAAAUAAAUUUGGUAAUCCUGUAAUAAAUCUUUCUUUCCAAAAUGAAGCAUUACAAUCUGGUCUUCUUAAUACAUUUGUUAAAAACAUAUCUUUAUACCAUCUAAAAUCUGACAAAGUUGGACAUCUUAAAUUUGUUAAAAAUGUUUUAUUUGCAUUUAACUCUUCUUUUGGAUUUCCUACAAAAUACAUUACUAUAGUAACAAUUAAAAAUUCUGCAGCAUCUGAUUGUACUUGAAUAUUACCUUGAUCAUCUUCUACUUCUAUUGUAUGAUCUAAUAUUGAUAAUUUAUCUUGAAAUGUUAAAGCAUUAUCCUACCAAUUUUUUAAUUGUCCGGUAAAUCCUGAUACUAGUAAUGUUGCAAUAUUUCUUUCUUGAAUAUUUUUUAACUUAUAAGCUAGUCUUGCCAUUCCCAUUUCUUGUAAAGUGUUUAAUACUUCAUAUUCUGCUCUUCCGUUUAUAUUUCAUUCAUAAAUUGAAUCUCCAUCAUAUUUUGUGGUAUGAAAUUUUGAUCUUUCUUCAUAUUGGAUAUCUGGGGGACUAGGUCUUGGAUAAUAAUUUCUAGUGCUUACUAUUUGCCAAUCUUUUUUAUUAUUUUUAAAAGGUCUUUUUCUUCUUAUUUUAUUUAUUUGAUUGUUAUCUUCUUCUUUAAAUUGCUCUUCUAUAGGUAAAAUUAUAUCUUCAUUAUUUUUCGAGUAGCUUGAUUCUUCUGAUGAUAUUUCUUCGUUUAUUAUAUUAUCUAAUGUAUUUAUUCUAGGAGUUUGAGUCUGAGCUUCUGUUGUUAGACUUUGCAAUGUUUGAGAUAUUCUAUUUAAUAUAUUAUCUGUAUUAUUUAUUCUUUGAGUAUUAAUGCUUUGAAUUAAUUCUUGCUCUCUAUCUCUUGUUAAGCUUCUAGGUUGAAAAUGUGGUGCUGAAACAUCAUUAGGAAAUUUUGUAACUGGUUUCUGAAUACUGUCUAUUUUAGUACUUAUUACUUCUAUAUGUUGUGAUAUAGUAUGCAGAAUUUGAUUUGUGUAAUUAUUUUGUUGGUAUAAUUUUUUAAUAUCAUCUAGAUUCACAUUAUUGCUAGUACUACUUGCUUCUGCUUCGCGUCCUUUUUUGAAAGGGGAUGCAAUAACUUCUCCUUGUCCUAAAUUAAUUUUUACUUCUUGUAAUGGAGGAUGAAUUAAGGUUACUAUUUGAUCGUCUUUUAAUUUUCAUUUUUUAUAUAAACUAGUUUGAACAUUUAUCUGUGGUGUAUUAUAUAUAUCAAUUAUUCCUGUUUUUGAAAUGUAAAAUGAUAACCAAGUAAAGAAGGGAAAAUCAAAUUUUCUAUUUUCUAAUUCUUUUUUCCAUUCUAAUAUUAAUUUUUCUUUACACUCUGGCGACAAUUGAAAAAAUCAAAUUCUUUUUUCUGUAUUUUCUUCAUCAUCAAAAUCUUCUUGUAAAUAUUUAUGAUUUAUUUUAUAUUUUUUACUUAUUACAUUUAUUUCACCUCGCAUUUGAGAAUGUGUUGGGGAAUAUUCUGAUUUAUUUUGAUUAAUUACUUCUAGAACAGGAGUUUUAAAUUUAAAUGUUGAGGAACUUUCUGGAAUAAAAGUUGUAUCACUUGAUUCAUAACUAGAUCUUCUAGCCGGAAUCCAUGAAUGACUUGAAGUUGAAGAUCUUUCUCUAAAUGAAGAAAAUCUUAACAAAACUUUUCCAUCAGGUUCUUCUAUAAUAUCUUCUACAUUUGUUUGCUCUAUGUUUCUUGGUGCUUGUGGAUUUUGAAUUAUAAAUUCAUUAGGUAUACUUAUUUCGUUCCAUUUUAAUCUUUUGGGAGUAUAAAUAGUAGGCCUAUCUGCAUCAACUUGCAAUAAUGUUGUUUCAUCUUUUAAAGUUUGAGUCAUGAUAAAUUUUGGAUUUAGUUGAGAGGACAAUGGUCUAUAAUACAUUUUAUAGAUUAUAGCAAAAUUCUUAGUAUGUUUUUCAAAUUCAUCACCUUGUAAAUGAAUAUCUAAUAUGACUGAAUUCAGAACAUGUGGAUCUGUUAAGUCUACUGAAAAAUUUGGAGCACAGUUAAAGUAAAUUGGUCCAUUACAUACAUUUGUUUGAAUCAUAGAUAAAAGAGAGGUUUUAUAUCUUUUGAGUCUUGUAUCUCUUAAAGUUAGAUAUAUAGGAGCAUCUACUCCUAGAUGGAAUAAAGGUUUUACUGCAACUUGAAUUAAACCUAUAUGAAUAUAUCUAUAUCAUUUACUAAAAUAUUUCUGAAUUGUAUCAUGAUUUAAUAACGGAAUUGUUUGAUAUUCUUUUUGAAUAGAAAUCGUUUCCUCAUGAGUUUUAACUGAUAAUGCUGUUUUGAAAUCUAAUGGGCCUAUUCUAUGAAUAUGUUCAAAAUUUCUCCUUAUCCAUUAAUCCAUGUAAGCAAGAGCAGGAUCCUUGUAAAUCUCCUCUAUAACCCAUUUUGGGGGGAGAAAAUCUAAACAACGAAAUGCCAGACAAUAAUUUGUAAACGUACCUCAUUUGGUCCCCAUCUGGUGUUCACGAAGGCGCCGACGGCGAAGACAGCGGCUAAGAAGAGUAAACCCCAUAUAUCGUUAAAUCUUUGGUUGCAGUUGUUGAUCUUUUCCUGCAACUUUGUAACCUCAAGCUGCAUUUCCAUUUGCUUGGCGCUCAAAUUGGCAACUUCCGACGCUUUAACUGCCGUGGCACGGGCCUCCCUAUCCAGCAUCUGCUCCAAUUUCUUUUGCAAUAACACGAGACCUGUGGCGAUUGAUCCCGUGACGACCGAUGAUAAAGCUAAAUCGCCAAGGUUAAUGUCAGUCUCGCCUGGGGCGGAGGUUGGGGUUUGGGUUACAGGGGUCGGGGUCCCGGUCCCGGACGUAGGGGUCGGGACCGGGAAUUGGGUAGGGAUCGGGGUCGGUGUGGAGGUCACGGUUGGGGUCGGGUCAGCCACAGAAAUGGGGGUGGAUUGGGACUCGACGGUUGAAAACCGUCUUCUCACCUCUGUAAAUCUGGGAACAACAUUUGGAUGGCAGUAAAUGAUACUGGUAGCGAGAAAAAUAGGCAUGAAAACAAGAUUUAACAAGUAAACUAAACUUAGAACAAGUUUUCAUUUGAUGUCCGGAACUCUAAUUUUAGUAGGUUUAAAGCGUGUACGAUGUCUUCCAUCACAUAUUUGCUUGCUGUAAAUAUAAUAUGAAUGAGACUUUGCAUCUCUGUACACCGAUCGUGUAAUCUUGAACUCUUGAUUACUUGAACUAAACAAAUGGAAACUUGUUCUGAGUUUAGUUUACUUGUUGACGCUCCGCAGAAAUUUAAUAGCUUAGAGAAAGUUGCGCAGACAUUUACCUGAUUUUUGCUUUGCCAAUCCACAUUUGGAUUUCGGGGAUGUUUUGGAUUGUAAGGAUGGGAGCUCUGGCCGGAAACGGAAACGGAUUUUAAUCCACCAAGAACGGUUAGAAGUUAAAUGGAGGCCUGUGUCUUUUGCCCUAAUAAGUAAUAAGUAGCAGCGAUUUUUAUUUUUCUUUUAAAUGAGGAGGGAGGCUUGCUUGUUAAAUUGAGAGUUUAAAUUACCAAACCAAUUUAUGAAUGUCCCAUUACAAGAAAUUGCAAAGGCAACUUAUAACAGCAAAUCUUAAAGAUUAAUUCUCACACAUGGCAUACUUCCUUAUACUGCAAUUAAACAAUUUCAUUAUCAAGAGAAAAGCAUAAAGCCAUUCUAGUUCUAAACACUAAACCAUAGGCAUGGAACCCUGCGUUUAGCAUCACUAUGAAUUCAUCAAGAUAAAUGUAUCCAGCCAACCGUAACAUUACAAGAGAAAAAUAAGUAUCCAGUCAAUCAUAACACUACAAACAAAAGUAACCCAUGCAUAGCAUACGUGUUUAAACAAUUUUCAUCACUAAAGUUGCACAACAAGCUCAGUUUAUAUUAGCUUAGAGGGCUCUAAAACAUCACCAACAGCAGAUAUCCAGGUCUGCCUUCCAUAUUCCCCCUACUUAGGUUUCAUCAUAUCUGCAGAAGAAGAAACAGAAUUUCAAUCAGGAGUGCAAUCUCAUGCAGUAGAAUAAGAAAACAAGUACUCUUAUGAAACUCAGAAGGCCAAAGGAGGUCAUGUUGCCUCACCUUUGUCACGGGCAAUACAAGGCUGACACAUUAACCUCCAUAUUCACAACCAAGAUAUUACUGUAAAAGUUGAAUGCAUACCAUGAAGCAGAGUUAAACAUGAUGGAACAUUACAAGGACCAUAUUGUUAUCGAUUGGUACCACAUUAUGCAGAAUGCAGAACAUUCCUACAAUAUCUUUUGAACCUGUGGAGUAGGAGGAUAAACACAAGCACACACCUAUGCAGGCACACAACUGAACUCAUCCAAAUAGAAAUUCAAAGACAUUGCUCAUAUUUUUCCAAUUAAAUUAAAUGACUAGAAACUUGAGUUUGCCAUCCAAAAAAAAAAUUGAAAGAAGAAAAUAAAACAUGAUUACCACUAAAAAAUUUGAAAGAAGAAAACAAUGAUAAUCACUAAAAAGAAAUUGAAAGAAGAGAAAAAAAUUGUUAUCACUAUAAGGUGCAACCUUCAACGAUUAGAACCUCAAAAUACUCAAUGCAAGACUUCACCUUAGGAUUUUGAAGACCUUCAAGCACCCAUCAUCAAUCUUUUAGAAUCAACAACCAUUUAAUCCCAUUCUCAUCAAAACGGUCCAAUGUCCAAGAAUUGAAGGAAAAUGACGUAUCUAUUUCUUCCUAAAAAGAAAAGGCGAAAUCAUCUAAUAAUUACUGUAUAAAUGUACAUUUGCCUGGGGGAUUCUACAUUAUAAAAGUAACCAAUGAAAAAGGGAGGAUUAAAUAUCGUUGUCUUCUUCUGAGCAUAGGAAGAAAAAAAAACUGAAAUCCAAUCUACAAUACUGCAAAAUUACCAUUGAAUAAAAACUUCACCUUGAACAACAUGUCCAGUUUCUCUCUAUUAUUGAAGGAGAGGGUGAUACCCAGUAGCUCUGGUUAAAACAAUUUUUUUUUGAGAAGCUAGUUCCAAAUGGUAAAGAUUGAGAGUAACUAAAAGUUAUAUAGCCACCCAAACUUAACAACAAUUGGAUGUAAUGACAGGUAAGUCAGGUGCACACUGUGCAGCGGAGAAGGACGACCAAGAAUCUUGGCAAAAUUGAGAAGAAACCCAGAAGCAGGAGCAACAGGUGCAGCCAUUGAGAGGAAGAACAAACGCACAACCAGUACAGAGAUUCCUCAGUGAUGUGGCACAAAAAACUAACUGAAAUACCAAGAUGCAAAUAUGGUGUUCUAGUAUUCAAAAGAAUAGAGAAGACAAUUAGUUGCAAACUUUUUUUCAAUCCAAAAUGUGUACACACACAAACAUGUAUAUAUGUGUAUGUAUGCAUUUACGUAUAUACAGGGAGGUGUAUAUAGCCAUAUAUACAUAUAUGCAACUAUACAUAUAUGUAUAUACAUGAAUAUGCAUACAUACAUAUGUACUAGUUUAUCUGUUGCCACACAUUCGCGUGGCUUUUCCCCGAUUUGAGUGCAGGAAAUGGUUAAUCUAGACCUAUGUAUAUAUCUGUAAAGUUAAUUAUCUGCCGCACUGUUCUAGGAGCUAAUUGGAAGAAUGUAAAAAUAUUGAUUAUAAUCAACAAACAGUAUGAAUUCCUGAAGUGAGAAGAAAGUUUCAAUAAAGUCUAUUAUAUUACAGUGUGAAUACUUCGUCAACCAUACCACGGGCUGAAAAACAGGCAAGCAAUUUUCAAUGAAUGCCACAAAAGGUGAAGCCAAGCAGGGUGGUCAUUGCUGCUAGAAAAGGCACGCCACUGCUAAGCACAAAAAGAGAGAGAUUUACAUUAUGAAAAUUUGGAAAAAAGAGUUGCUCAUCUAGUGCUUUUUGUUACCUAUUCUCUUGCUAGUAAAUAGGACCUACGUUGAGAAUGUAGCACAAGUAUUUGAUAAGGACAAAAAACUCACAUCCAUACAAGACUAAUUAGCAAAAUUAGAAAAUCAAAUGCUGAAAUUUAGUUGGGAAAUAUAGACCAUUGCUGCUUUGGCUCUGAACUUACAAAGCCUAACAUUCAGGUAUUCAAAUUUGUUCAUCUCAGUAUUGCAGUUUAGGUUUUGGACUUUCAUUUCCUAACCAACAAUUUAGCAAAUAUGGUCAGAAUGAUGAUAAAAUUAUGUCGAUGCAAGUAAAUAAAAUACUUGCAUAAAGUACAAGAAGCCAAGGAACUCUCUUAUCAUCCAAUUUAAGCAAAUUCUCAAGCUCACAACAUUCUUGGUGUCAAAUAUACCCGCAGCAUUUGCACUUCUAUUUGUAUGGACUGCCAUUUAAACUAUCCUCCUCUAGGUUGCCAUUAUGUAGACUACACACCUUAGCCUUUCCAUCUUCCCACCACCGCAUUCCUUCUCUCUCGUGUUACCAAGACAGGACUGUCUUCAUGCAUAUUUCACUGAUACAUAACCUUAUGAAUGCAAUGAAUAACUCACAUUCAAUUCAAUUGAGACAUAAUCUUGUGAAUGCAACGUGUUCACAGCACAUACAUGGCUCACAGGAAAUUCUAAAUAUCAUUCCGAUCUAGAUUUGCCAUAGGUAAAUGCCAACAGCACCAUCCCACCAUUUUAAAACUUCAUCAUAGAAAGAGAAGAGCUCCCUGCUCCUACGUAAUAUAUGAACUUCAACAGCAUCGGGAAACACAUAUGAAAAAUAUCAAAUAAUUGAUAUGUCUCUAGAUUCAACCUCCCAGGGUUAAAGCUAAAUACUCCGAAUGGUCGACAGUAAGUCAUAUAUACUCGAUAAAAACACCCAUCUUCAGCACCACUACUUAAAAAAAUGCACAUGCAGCAUUCCUUAGAUGAUGGUUACUCAUCUAGAAUUUAAGUUGCAGUUCAUUUAAUAACCAGAAGCAUUAUAUCAAAGAAGCAACAAUCAGGCUAUCAAAGCCAUAACUUAUCAUGUUAAGUUAAAAGCUAGAUCAAGUCCCUUUGAAUCUCGUUCUGGUGCAUAACAAUGGGUACUCACAUGCAAGGAGUGGAGUAAACAUUCUAUAGCACUUAUAUAGCUUCACCCUCAAAAAAUAAAAACCUUCCACAGGAUCAAGCAAACAUAGAAAACAAGCUGAUUUAUCAUUCACUUGUUUAGCAAUUCUUUUUCUCAACAACUGUAAAAAGAGGGAAAAUAGCCCAGCUACGGGACGUCUCAUAGCCUGUUCUGUAUUGAAGCCAAUGAAAAGUUGUGUACUAUUGAGAGAACUAACCAAACUUGAGCAGAAAAAAUUUCCCUUCAUCCCAUCAUUGCGAUACCAAAUACCCAAACGGAUUUUAUCUUAAUCAUUUAACUGACGAAAUUUGUCGAUUAAGCAAAACAACAAUUAUAAUAAUUAAUCAAGAAAUAAAUGAUAUAAACCUGAUUUAUUCACCACUGCCACUACUCUCAGAGUCUUCUGGGACAAAGGAACACUUUAAUACACUUGAUAUCUUCAUACUUAACAACUGCUGGAGACAAAGAAUGGAGCAGGAACAAUAAUUGCUCAUUUGAGGACAAAAAGUUUUCUUCAGCAAAAUAAGUCAAGAGAUUUUAUUUUCCUUCCCAUGAACAUACCUCAUUUGCCUAACAUUCAAAUAAUUGCUCUCAAAGGUAGAAACUAAUAUACCACCUCUAUCCUCUAUCAACCACACAAAAACAGAAUUGCUAUAGAUAAAUAGAAAAACUGAAUUCAAAUACAAAAUUAAUUAAAAAAAAAAGUGAUACGUACCACUUAAAAAGCCAUAUAAAAUCAAUUCCCCAAAUAGAAAUCAAUCAAAGAUUAAACUCAAAUUUUAAAAAUUCAAUGAAAAAAAAGAGAAUCUUUGAGCACAAACACCAACUACAAAAGUGCUCACAAUCUAGAAAACAAAGAAACGAAAAUUUGAAAGAAACAAAUAAGACAAAACUUAGGGUAAGAACAAAAUUUUGUAAAAUACAAGAGAGGAAGUAAUGAAUCUGGGUAGUCUCGCCAAGAUGCAUGCCCAUGUGUUUGUGAAAGUGAACGAAGGGUGGUGCGAUUGAAUAGAAGAGGCAGGAAUUGCUAGAUAAUUGUUGAUGAGCUGAGGGAAUUUUUUGUCUUUUAACCAUCAGCUCUCUACGCUCUAUUGUUGUCCCAGAUUAACACUAGAGCUGUGAAAGAUGAAGAUGAUGACACCACAGGUAAAUUUACCUCCAUGCUUGGUCUGUGCAGAAAAGGAGUAUACAAUGGAAGAGAAGCAAUUUGUGGACAAUUGGGAGAUCGGAGUGGGGAGACAGAGUGACAACAAUGGAAGGUUAGAGGAGAGAGUGGAAUUGCUAGGAUGUUUGUCAAGUUCACGGCAAAAGCCACUGGAAUUGUUAAAACUUACAAGAUAACCAGUCCAUUAUCUAACCAAAAGAUGAAGAUGCCCCAAAAAAUUCAACAAAUCCACAAUAAUACCGCAACAGUCUCAGCAGCCAACCAGAGAUCAAAUUAGAUGAUGAAAUCAAUUGAUAACCAAAUAACCACAGCAACUGCUUUAAAUUACCAAAUAACCAAAUCCGGUCAAAAUAAGUGGCCCAGUCAAAAUAAUUGAGCAUCUAAAUUGGAAUUCAAUUGACAAUCCAAUUCCACUCAUUCUCAUCUUUACAAUAUUAAGGAUGUAUAUACUAGUUAUUGAGCAACAUGCCCAGACAGUGUGGAAUGGCAUAUAGAUUUAUAACCGCAAACUGCAGAAACAUACAACUAAAAAAUUACUGUGCAAAGCCACAGCUUCUCCAUUCUGGCUUGCUAAUCUGCUUUAACUGCAGCUUUAAAGCUAUUCAAAAUGUAUUGCAAGAGAUGCACAAACUUCAUGUAAAAACUACAAUCAUAACCAAAAGCAAAAUUACAUUGUCAUAUUACUGAAGAGCUCCAACCUUAGGAAGCUUGCACAUUCUAUCUUUCUCAAGAUAAGAAGGAUAGCAAAGCUCACUAAGAGAAGCAAGUCCAACUAGUAUUUUUUGAUAUCAUGACAUGGUACAAGAUUAAAUUAUAACUCAUUCAGAGAUUAUACUCCUAAUUCAUUUAUUUCGGUGUAAAAUAUGCUAAAAAUAUGUUCUUCGAAGAUGGUAUCUCCCAAGAGAUACUCAAAUUUGUCCCUAAAAGCAAGCAUAAAGCCAAAAUAACAAGUGUUGUUCCUUUGAGUACCGGCAUGAAGCCACAUCCAACAGAUGCAUUCAAAAUUUCUCCUUAUCCAUUAAUCCAUGUAAGCAAGAGCAGGAUCCUCGUAAAUCUCCUCUAUAACCCAUUUUGGGGGGAGAAAAUCUAAACAACGAAAUGCCAGACAAUAAUUUGUAAACGUACCUCAUUUGGUCCCCGUCUGGUGUUCACGAAGGCGCCGACGGCGAAGACAGCGGCUAAGAAGAGUAAACCCCAUAUAUCGUUAAAUCUUUGGUUGCAGUCGUUGAUCUUUUCCUGCAACUUUGUAACCUCAAGCUGCAUUUCCAUUUGCUUGGCGCUCAAAUUGGCAACUUCCGACGCUUUAACUGCCGCGGCACGGGCCUCCCUAUCCAGCAUCUGCUCCAAUUUCUUUUGCAAUAACACGAGACCUGUGGCGAUUGAUCUCGUGACGACCGAUGAUAAAGCUAAAUCGCCAAGGUUAAUGUCAGUCUCGCCUGGGGCUAAGGUUGGGGUUUGGGUUGCAGGGGUCGGGGUCCCGGUCCCGGACCGGGAUUGGGUAGGGGUCGGGGUUGGGGUCCCGGUCCCGGACGUCGGGGUCGGGACCGGGAAUUGGGUAGGGAUCGGGGUCGGUGUGGAGGUCACGGUUGGGGUCGGGUCAGCCACAGAAAUAGGGGUGGAUUGGGACUCGACGGUUGAAAACCGUCUUCUCACCUCUGUAAAUCUGGGAACAACAUUUGGAUGGCAGUAAAUGAUACUGGUAGCGAGAAAAAUAGGCGUGAAAACAAGAUUUAACAAGUAAACUAAACUUAGAACAAAGUUUUCAUUUGAUGUCCGAAAUUCUAAUUUUAGUAGGUUUAAAGCGUGUACGAUGUCUUCCAUCACAUAUUUGCUUGCUGUAAAUAUAAUAUGAAUGAGACUUUGCAUCUCUGUACACCGAUCGUGUAAUCUUGAACUCUUGAUUACUUGAACUAAACCAAUGGAAACUUGUUCUGAGUUUAGUUUACUUGUUGACGCUCCGCAGAAAUUUAAUAGCUUAGAGAAAGUUGCGCAGACAUUUACCUGAUUUUUGCUUUGCCAAUCCACAUUUGGAUUUCGGGGAUGUUUUGGAUUGUAAGGAUGGGAGCUCUGGCCGGAAACGGAAACGGAUUUUAAUCCACCAAGAACGGUUAGAAGUUAAAUGGAGGCCUGUGUCUUUUGCCCUAAUAAGUAAUAAGUAGCAGCGAUUUUUAUUUUUCUUUUAAAUGAGGAGGGAGGCUUGCUUGUUAAAUUGAGAGUUUAAAUUACCAAGCCAAUUUAUGAAUUUCCCAUUACAAGAAAUUACAAAGGCAACUUAUAACAGCAAAUCUUAAAGAUUAAUUCUCACACAUGGCAUACUUCCUUAUAUUGCAAUUAAACAAUUUCAUUAUCAAGAGAAAAGCAUAAAGCCAUUAUAGUUCUAAACACUAAACCAUAGGCAUGGAACCCUGCGUUUAGCAUCACUAUGAAUUCAUCAAGAUAAAUGUAUCCAGCCAACCGUAACACUACAAGAGAAAAAUAAGUAUCCAGUCAAUCAUAACACUACAAACAAAAGUAACCCAUGCAUAGCAUACGUGUUUAAACAAUUUUCAUCACUAAAGUUGCACAACAAGCUCAGUUUAUAUUAGCUUAGAGGGCUCUAAAACAUCACCAACAGCAGAUAUUCAGGUCUGCCUUCCAUAUUCCCCCUACUUAGGUUUCAUCAUAUCUGCAGAAGAAGAAACAGAAUUUCAAUCAGGAGUGCAAUCUCAUGCAGUAGAAUAAGAAAACAAGUACUCUUAUGAAACUCAGAAGGCCAAAGGAGGUCAUGUUGCCUCACCUUUGUCACGGCCAAUACAAGGCUGACACAUUAACCUUCAUAUUCACAACCAAGAUAUUACUGUAAAAGUUGAAUGCAUACCAUGAAGCACAGUUAAACAUGAUGGAACAUUACAAGGACCAUAUUGUUAUCGACUGGUACCACAUUAUGCAGAAUGCAGAACAUUCCUACAAUAUCUUUUGAACCUGUGGAGUAGGAGGAUAAACACAAGCACACACCUAUGCAGGCACACAACUGAACUCAUCCAAAUAGAAAUUCAAAGACAUUGCUCAUAUUUUUCCAAUUAAAUUAAAUUACUAGAAACUUGAGUUUGCCAUCCAAAAAAAAAAAUUGAAAGUAGUGUUCUUAGAGGAAGGAGCAACUUAUUAUAUUGUCUUGAAGGUAGUGUUCUUAGAGGAAGGAGCAGCGGCAACCCUAUAACUACUUGGAAACUAGCGGAGAAAACCAAACUGAUCAAGUAGAACAGAGAGUAAAAUGGUACAUGGACCAAACAGUGGAUUAAAUUUAUCAAAAAACCCAUAAAAGUGCAACAAGCUGUAUUAUAAACAGUCCAUUAGUUACUGUUCAUAAGGCCAUUAACACUUAAAUAGUGUUUGCUAUAUUAUUAUAGGGGAAAAUGACUUGUUUCAUCCCUCACAUUUAAUAAAAAUAUUUUUUUUUGUCCCUCACUUUUAAAACAAAGUGCUAGACCAGUUUAAUAAAAAUAUUCUUUUUGCCCCUCACUCAAUAACAGUAGUGCUAGACCAGUUUCCUGAAGUCUUUCAGGAGCCUACUCAGUUACCUCCUAACAGGCAUUUGGAUCAUCAAAUCCCUUUGAAACAUGGGGCACAGGCAUUCAAAAUGAAACCAUAUAGAUAUCCUCACUCACAGAAGUCAGAAAUUGAAAGGCAGAUAGCUGAAAUGUUGAAGUCUGGGAUCAUCAAGCCAAGUAAUAGCCCCUAUGCAUUCCCGGUGCCACUAGCUAAAAAGAAGUACAAUACCUAGCAUUUUUGUGUAGAUUAUAGGCACCUUAAUGAUUUAACAGUCAAAGAUAGGCACCCGAUACCCAAAAUUGAUGAGCUCUUGGAUGAAUUGUAUGGGGCCAGAUUUUUCUCAAAAACUGACUUGAGAUCAGAGUAACAUUUUCAAACUCACCAAGGUCAUUAUGAGUUUUUGGUGAUGCCUUUCGGACUAACAAAUGCACCUGCAACAUUUUCAAGCCUUAAUAAACCAGGUGUUUGAGCCUUUCCUGAGGAAAUUUGUUUUGGUGUUCUUUGAUGACAUAUUGAUCUACAGCACUAGCUUGGAGCUUCAUCAGAAACACCUACAACAAGUAUUGGAAGUGCUCAAGCAGCACCAACUGUAUGCCAAACUCUCUAAAUGCUCUUUUGCUCAACAGGAAAUGAAAUAUUUGGGACACGCAGUAUCCAGCAAAGAGGUGAGCAUGGACAUGAACAAGGUAGAAAGCAUUUUGUCUUAGCCUACCCCUAAAUCUGUUAAAGAACUUAGAGGCUUCUUGGGGCUUACAGGUUACUACAGGCGCUUCAUACAAGGGUAUGGAGCCAUCAGCAAGCCGCUAACAAACUUACUUAAGAAGGAUGCUUAUAAAUGGGGUGCAGAUUCUCAAAAGGCUUUUGAUCACCUUAAGCAAGCUAUCAGCAGUGCUCCAGUGCUGCGACUGCCUAACUUUGAUAUCCCUUUUGUGGUAGAGUCAGAUGUCAGUGGACAAGGCAUGGGGGCUGUACUCCUGCAGGAAGGUCACCCUAUAGCAUUUAUCAGCAAGGCCUUCUCCCUCAAGAAUAUGGGGUUAUCUGUCUAUGAGAAGGAGCUGAUGGCACUGGUUUUUGCAGUCACAAAGUAGAAACAUUAUCUGGUAGGGAAUCACUUCAUCAUCAGGACAGAUCAAAAAUCACUGAAGUUUCUAUUGGAGCAAAGGUUAACCACUACUGCUUAGUACAAGUGGCUAACAAAACUACUGGGGUUAGUCUAUGAAAUCAAGUAUAAGAAAGGCUCAAAAAACACAGUUGCUAAUAUUUUAUCCAGGAGGAUUAUCCCUGAGCAUAUACCUGAGCAGCAACAACUCAUGGCAAUAACUAGUGUUCAACCUGUAUGGAUGCAGGAAUUACAGGACAGUUACUUUGAAGAUAAAUAGUGCCAGGACCUGCUGAGCCAGUUGCUGUUGGAUCCUGAGCCACAGGAUUCUGACUUUUGACUCAGCCAGGGAAUACUCAGAUAUAAAUGGAGGUUGUAUGUAGGGGACAGUCAAGGAAUCAAGCAAAAGAUAAUCAAGACACUGCAUGAGUCCCCUGUUGGAGGUCAUUCUCGCCAAAAGGCAUGUAUACAGAGAGUGCAAAGUAUAUUCUACUGACCAGGGAUGAUGUAGGACAUCAUUCAGUUUGUGCAAGGGUGUGAAGUCUGCCAGAGGAAUGAGAGUGAGCAUGUACCAUAUUCAGGCCUGCUACAGCCUCUACCUAUACCAACUCAAGCUUGGUCACACAUUACCAUGGAUUUUAUAGAGAAGCUACCUUGUUCCAAGGGAUUUGACACUAUCCUGGUAGUUAUACACAGGUUGACAAUUUGAUUGCGUCGCCCCUUCCCUAGCCCUUCGGGGAUGCCCUCAGCGUCGAGGAACAUGUACUCGGGUGUAUGUGCGACUCGUUUAGAUCAUAUCAUGAGCAGGCACAAAAGCAAAAAAACAACCUCUCCAGUAUCAAUGAUACGUACCGGCUAAUAUAAUAUGGAAGAGGGGACUCCAUUUACUAUCUAAAAAAAUAAGACGAUCUAUCAUAUCCCUCCAUUGUGUAUGAAUUUUAUGGUUUCCACUGGGCCAUCCUGGACUUGAACCAGAGACCUCGCUCGUGAUGUAAAUCAUUGCACCUAUGGUCCAACCAAUUGGGAGAGAAUCAAUAGAUUCCUUUUCGGGAGCGAUUCAUCCUUCCCGAACGCAGCAUACAACUCUCCGUUGUAUUGCGCUCCACUCUGUCUUUGAUUACAUACUUUCUAGCUAUAUAAGUAUGUAUAUUUGGAUGUAUAUUUAUCAGAUCGUGGCUUCAUGUACCAAAUGUUUUGCAUCCGAUAUUUUUGUGUGAUGGAUGCGAGAAAUAGACUUUCAUUUCCAGUCUACUAUUUAUAUUAUAUUUAUUUUAUUGAAUUAACAAAAAAUAGAAAUUAUUUCUUUUUCUUUUUCAAAGGAGUUUUAGAUUUAUCUGAAGGAAAAAGAGAUAGAACUAACAAAGAAAAUACUAAAGGGUUCAUAACUACUCCUCUUACUACAGGACGCUUACCUAGCCAACGCUUAGAUCCGGCUCUACCCAAACUUUUCUGGUUCACCCCAACAUUCCCUACUUGUCUGACUGUUGCUGAGCAGUUUUUGGAUAUCAAACGGACCUCCCCAGAAGGUAAUUUUAAUGUAGCUCUAUCACAUCCCUUCUCAGCUGCACAGAUGGCUCAAGCUUUCUUGGAUCACAUUUAUAAGCUUCAUGGUCUACCUGAGUCUAUUAUAACAGAUAGGGACAGAAUCUUUACCAAUAAAUUCUGGCAAGAGUUGUUCAGGAUGGCUGGAACUGAGUUGCACUAUAGUUCAUCCUACCACUGAGACUAUAGUGUAGGAAAGAUUAACACUUCUUUUUUUGUGUUAUAAUUCGUUAUUUUUCCCCUUUUUUGAUUCCUUAAAUUUUACACCAAAUGAUCUAUCAAUUUUAUCCCUGAAAUUUGUAACCAAACUGCUGAAUAGUUUGAUUCAUUAAAAGUUGGUUUUAGGGAUGUAAUAGCUUCGAUUUUUAAAUGUCAGGAAUAAAUUUGCUUCAUUUUAAAAGUAAGGGACGAAAAGAAUGUGAGAACCCGUAAUUUCCUAUUUUCUAGGUUUUCGUAUUUUUCAUGGCUUGUUUUCUGCAUUUUCGUGAUUAGAAAAAUUUCUAAAUAUUUUUAAGGAGCAGAUAUAAUUUUUAGAUGAUUUUUCUAGUAUCGAAUAGAUUUUGAGAAAUUAAGAGCGUAUACCGGACGUGGGACCCACUAGUGCGAAAAGUUCGGAAAAAUUCGGCCAACUAGGUUAAGUUUUGGAUACUGGGAUUAAUUUAUCGGGGGUUAAGAGAUAAUUAGAGGUUAUCAAAUGGAUGAGAGUUGGAGAGACAAAAGGAUAGCUAUGCAUUAAUAAGAGUGACAAGUGUCACUUUGUGAUUGGACUUGGAAUUUGACCAUAAGACCAUCUUACCACUUUUACCAAAUAAAUACCAAAAAAAUUGACCAAAAUUCCUUAUUUUCUUCUCUCCUUGGCCGAUUCACUUCAAGCAAAAAAAGGAAAAGAAAAGCUCUCCAAUUUCUUUGCUCCAACCUUGCUCAAUCUUCCACUUCAACCGGUUAAAUUUGUAAUUGCUCCAUAAAACUCCUCCAUUUAGUGAUUUUGAGGUGAUUGGUGAAGUUAUUUGGAAAGCUAAGGUGACCAAUUGCUCUCUCUCUCUUGUUUUCAAGGUAAGUUGUGAAGAACCACCCUCCUCCUUUAAUUGAUGCUUAAAUCAUGCUUAGUGGUAGUAUAAGAUGCAAGUUUAUGGAUUAAUUCUUGAUUUGUGGUUGAAAUAAUGAAGUUUUAUUAUUUUUGGGGAAUUUUCUGUUUUAAGAUAAGCAUGAUUGUGUGGCUAUCUAUGAUGAUUGGAAAUGGUCUAUAAUGACUCUAGGAGGUGGGAAAAGUGAUUAAUUGCAACCAAUUUCUGUUUUGGACCAAAAAUUGAAAAGUGAGGGUUUUGUGAUGAACAUUCUGUCCGAAAUUUUAGGUCAUAGAUAGAGGCCGAAUUGGCCUUAGCUCAAAACAUGAAAGUUUUAGGGAAUGACAUUUUGGAGGUGCCUACAAAAUUUCAGGUCAAUCGGAGUAGUGUGGAAUGAGAAAAGUCGAAAUUACUAUUGCUGUUAUGGUUUACCCGAAAUUGGGAUUUGCGACUGUAAUUGGUUGUUUUGGCUGGAAUUUAUUCCGAAUUGGUUGUUGAGGCCUUCUGAUGAAAUUUAGCCCUGUUUCUUAGCUUUCAACUGGUUUUGGAAUUUCUGGAUUUGGACUUGUAGAGCCUGAGUUAUGAAGUUUCCGAUAGAAUGCGUUUUGGUGAAUCUGUUUUACGUUGUUGAUGAAGUAUCUUGCAUUUUUGACCUGUUUGCACUCAAAACUGGGUUGAGUGACCUUCUGUGACAUUGUAGCCUCUUAUGUCCUAAAUAUGUCUGCAAAAUUUCAGGUUAAACGGAUCAGUGUAGCCCGAGUUAUAGACAAAACACUAGCACCUAUUUUUUUUUCAACAGCCUGAAUCAGACUUUUGUUGUUUUAUAAACCUAAUCCCAGAAUUAACCUCAAAAGCCGGCAACUCUUGAGGCAAUCCCAGGGACUUAUAUCCCAACCCAAACCCAACCCCAACCCCGAUGUGGGACAAAUGUACCUAUAGGGGGGACCUGCUGCUAAGUGGGAUUGCACCUAUUUUGGUACCCUGGAUUGUGUUCCGUUUUGAUUUUUGCUUCUGCCCAUGUUUUAUCCGUUUUGAUAACAUGCGAUCUGGGUGUUGACUCCUUCAUAAGAAAUAUAGAUCUUGGUUUUAGCUUCGAAACGGUAUAAAGUGCGUCGAAAUCCGAGUUCCGUAGCUUCCGUUAUGACCAAAACAAGAUUGAUCGUCAGAACUGCCUUUGAUCUGGACAGUUCUGACGGGUACUUUGGCACUCAAUUUUCGUUCUGUUCUGAGUGGAUUCAGGUCUCGGCCAAAACAUCAAAGUUUUAGCCUUAUGUCUCAGCUUUCUAAUGCCUUUGGAAUUUCCUGAUUUGGAUUUGUGAGCUGGGAGUUAUGGUACAGCAAACAUACCCUGUUCGUCACUCUAAAGUGCGCAUUUCUGGAACGAUUUUCCAUACUUUUGACCUAUUUCUUUUCAGAUCCGGACUUAGGUGUCUUCAUGAGAAUUGUAUCCCUUCCUCUUAGCUUCACAACGGUAUCUCAUGUACCUUGAUCCGAUAUUCCUAGCCUAACUUUUGAUCAAAACGGUUUGAGAAGGCAGAUUUGGCCAUUUCCGUUUGCCGUUCCGCGCGGGCGCGUGUGCCCAUUUUGCCGUUUCCGCACUUACAUGUGCCGAUUUUGCCGUUUUGCUUGUUUUAAAUAUGUUAGCAGCCGUUUGUGAUAUAUUGUGACACAAUCUUCAAUUUCAGACGUUGGUGAGCUAGGUGGAGCCAGUGGGGCCUACUAGCUACUACUCGCGGCACGAAUUUCGUACUUUUGCUCUUUUGUUCGUUGUGUAAGUAUUCAGGCCGCUCUUGUGUGUUAGUUGCUUAUGUGUUUCGAUAUGUAUGAAGAGGGUACCUAGGCGAGGGUGUACUUUAUCGCACUCGACCUAAACCCUAACUUGCGCACAUAUUUGUACAUGGCUUGUGUAUAUGAGCAAUUUUGGAACUAAAACCCUUGAGCUCGUGGCUCGGGGUAACUUUUGAAUAAAUUUUGUGAAGUUUGUGAGUUUGGGGUUGAUCUUCCGACCUAGAUGGACUAUUCGAGCCGGUCAGGGUUUGGUCGAAGCCAGUCCAACUUAGUCUGAGGUCACCAAGUUUGUGAAUCCGGUUCACCGAGAAUGUGGACCAAGUUUGUGACCCGAGCUUGUGACUCAAGCUCAAGUUUGUGAUUUCGUUCGCCCGGGCAAGUUUGUGAGGUGACUGGCCAGAGAGGGUGAUAAGGUGUACGGUGGGAGUACAAGUGACGUUCUACGGACCAUUAUUUGAGGUCGACGGAGUGUCGGCAGGAGGUCACACAUGGCAAACGAUCUGGCUUUGGAGCCACCUGUAUCCUUAUUAUGUGAUGUUACUUUUCUGCUUUUGCUUUACUCUUAUUGUGUAAUUGUUAAUAUGUGAGAUUUACGCUUUUGCCCCUGUUUACUUACCAAGCAUAUAGCUUACCCCUUUCCUUUUGUUUUCCUUAGCAGGGGCCGACGCGGGGACUUUUGGCACAUACACUAGCAUAGUUAGGUUUGAUUGUAACAGUCGGACAGUUGGGAUAUUUUUUUGUUUUUGUUUUGGUGGUUUGUAUAAGAACCCUCCUUAGGGUCUAUCUUCUGCUGGUUGUGGUUAUAGUAUAUUAGAGUGAUAUUUUGAAAAUGUAAUUAGAACUCUUUUGGCGUUAGAUAUAUUGUGAAUAGUACGCUUGUGGGUUUAUCUAGUUUUAUUGUUUUGAAUUUUGAGUCCCGGCGAGAGCUGGGCAGGCGGUCCGCCGAACCCUCUGGUUCGCCUUAGGGGGAGGUGGGGCUGUCACAAAGAACAUUAUUGCAAAUGUGAGUGAUUAACCUUAUUAUAAAGAAUAAAAUAAUCAUAAUGUUUAAAUGUACGUAAGUACGAUACAACAUCUACAACUAAAUCAACAGCCAUAAGCGCACCUAUAGCUAGCUUCCUGAAUGCCUAGCUCAAAUGGUUCAACUUUUAUAACUCAAUUAGUGUUGUUAAUCACUCUUUCACAGUUCAUAUAGUCCAAAUUCUAUUCUAUUCUAUUGAGACGUAAUUAAUUAUGAACUAGUUAUCACAGCUUGAGUAGUCUCCAACUGAAUUUGAAUCUUUUUUGCCAUGAAGCUGCACAACUGCAUCUUGUCGCAAUUAAAGAAAUUCAAAGAGAUAGAAAUGGAAUAAUCACCUCUAAGGGUAGCACUAAACCACCCAUCCACCUCUAAGGGUAGCACAUCAAACGACAAACAUUGCCAUAAGAAGCAUAACGAUGCCAAGCAACACUCUAAAAUAGUAAACAAAAUAGUACAAGUUAAGGGCACUAGUCCAGAUUUUUCUGGUUUUCUCAGAUGCAUGAAAAAAUACCUUAUUUUAUGAAUCAUCUCCAGCUGCGCUUCAUAUUUUAUUCUGUGCCAUCAAGAAAAGCAUCAUUAGAACUAUUACCAUUACCAUGUGUCCAAUAGAUAAUUGUCCAGAGCUUAAAACUACAUGCUAACUCCAAAGGUAAAAAGAAGGAAAAAACAACUGAAAAAGAUAUAUAAUCAUAGCUCCUCAAUCAGAUGCAAUGUAAUGCCCUAACAAAGAAACAAAUUUAUCACUGCCACAACCAUCCUCUUGCACAUACAUACAUAAAAGAAAAACGUACACAUAGACAUGGUCAACUGGUUCACAAGCAAUGCAUACUGCUCUGAAAAGAAAACAUAACAACAACAGCAGCAGCAGCCACCUAGCAUAAGCUAAAUGAUACAGAAGAAGAGAGUGCCCCCACACAGAAGUUUUCAAUUCUUCUAUGCUUAUUUACACAGAAUGCAGAAGCGAAAUCGAGUCUUUCGCAUACUAACAAUUUCUGAAAACAAAAAAAUGGGGCAAAGCACAGAAAAACCAACCCGGAAAUGUACUUGUCAAUGAUACCGGGUAACAUCCAUCCAGCUGCCAUCGAAAUACCAGCAAGAACAGCUGUUUGAUUUAUACAGAAAUAAGAAAAAGUGAGGGGCAAAAAUCCAAAAGAAAAAAAAAAUCACUUGCCUACUCUGUGCUAAGUGAUACUAACGGUAUCAAUGUUUGAACAACAAUAAGACGUGAGCUGAAGAGGGAGAGGGAGGUGGAAGACGAACUUACGUCUACGGAUGAUAAAGACAGGCAAAUCAUGCAGGCUGCAAGACAACAAAAACAAAAAUAAAAGAAAAAGUAGGAUCCAGGCUCAAUCAAGUAAUAAACCAAAAUAAGAAAUCAACUAAGAGAAAUAGACCACAUCGAAGCUUCAUAAUUUACGGCUAGAGAAUGAAUUCGCCUACACGAACUUACAGCUUCUUCUUCAGGUAAUCCAUAGUCUUCGUCGUUGUCCCAAAUCCAAACCCUGCCCUAUAAUCUACUCUGAUUCUCUCGCUCGCUCGCUCUCUUCUUAGGGAUCUGCAAUUUCAAUAUACAGUUAGGAUACUAUUCUUGAAACUUUUACUCAUUUGAGAUUAUAAGCAUGCAGCUAAGGAGUGAGGAGCGAGCAAAUUUUUUGAGUCAUUUCAUUUUGGUUCCCUCCAAUAACACGAAAAAUGUUUGUGUUUUACUCUGAAAGCCAUUCACUACUAAUUUAAGAUUCCUUUACAUUGAGAAUUUCAUUGAUCAGCAACGACGGUGCACUCAAAGGAAUGUACUCGUUCCAAUUACAUCAGUAGCUAGCAUUAGUGUUGUUCCCAACAAAUCAUCAGCAAGGGAGGAACACAUCCAACGAAAUCCCAAUUUUGCCUACUUAAAGGUAUCCUUCUCCAGUUUGCAACUACGUCCUUACAACAGGCAAGAACAGCAGAAACAGGAAUGUGCUAAAAUAUUACUUUAGCUCCGUCCGUAUGGAUUAAGUGUUUUUUAGCGUAUUUUAAUAUUCUUGUUCAUUGUUUCCCUUUUUAUCUUAGAAACCAUUCCAAAAUUAUAACAAACUCGAUUAAAGGAGGAGGAGGAGGAGGAGGAGGAGGAGGAGGAGGAGGAGGGGGGGGGGGGGGGAGAGAAUCAGGCAUUCAUCUUCUGCAGAUGAAACAAGAAUUGAUGGCAUAAUGAGAUUAACUAUUACUUCACUAGUAAUGAGCAUCAGGUACUGAAAGGAUCGUGAGUCGAAAAGAAUUGUGAACACUAAAAAAAAAAUCAAUUGUUGUUGGAUUGUCAGAUGAAUAAAAAUCAAGAAAAAUUCAAAAUAGCACCAGAAAUGGAGGAGCGGAGUUGCAAGCCGCCACUCCAACUAUUCCUGUCAGAAGAGAAGCAACACAAUACAUCUUCCCAUUAUGAUAAGCCAACUUCUUUGCUCUUUGAGAUACUCUCCCACAACUUUACAUUAUGGGUGAAGUGGGUACACAUAAUUCAGCUUAAAUCCUCAUCCUUUUGGGGGGGGGGGGGGGGGGCUAAAAUCCCAGCAGACUGCUCAUGGAGUUGGGGAAAACUUUUAAAGCUGAGAUGGUUGGAAAUGGUCAAGAUACCAACUUCUGUUAUGGCCAAUGGCAUCCAUUAUACUUGCACUUUUCUGAGAACUUGCUUACUGGAUUCAAUCUGUCAAAAUUGGACCCUAUGGCAAAAAGUUUUAAUGGUGGGGAGUGGAAAUGGCCUUGUGGGAGAAAGUUUAACGCAGAAGUUAGAAGAUUUCAGCAGCUUACUCCUUGUGAACUAAUCCUUAACCCAAAUGAAAAAGAUGCUACUGUACGGACACCUAGCAACUCGGGGGUGGGGUGCAUACAGUCAAGUCUGCUUUGCAAAAACUCAGACCAGUAUCACCCGAAGUCACCUGGUACAAACUGGGAUUCAUAGGUUUCGUAGAAUAAACCAUGCCUUGGCUGCCUCAAAUUACUCCAUCAUCUCAAGCCGAGUGUAAUUUUCACCUUUCACAUUCCAUUUCUACAGCUUUGUUUCCACCAUAUUCCAUUUCCUCCCCAUUUUUUUUUCGUGAAAACACAUGUCAAUAAACUAUUGUGCGCGGGGGCUUUUGAAAGUAAAAAUUCAAAGUUCUGAGAAGCAAUUUUGUAUAAUACUGUAAAUGUUUUAAAUGUGUUAGAUAACAUAAAAGCUGAUACAUAAUGAAAACAAAAUAUAAAAGGUUGAUUUUAAGGCAAAUAAUUCUAACAUUUUGAAUAUGUAGGAAACAAAAGAUUACGCAAUGUUGAAGUCUACUGCUAACAAUUUGUUACAAUGAUGAUUCACGAAUCCCUUGGUUUAUACAGGCUUCUGUAUCCUUUCCCCUACUAAAGUUAAGCACUUGAUAAGAGAAGAAAAAAAAAAGUCUUUAGCAAAUAAUUGAAGUUCAACAAACUAGAAAGAUUAAGCAAGAAAGGGGUAGCUAGCCCUAUAACGACUAUAUCAAUUCAACAUACAUCCCUUCAAUCAAUUUAGUCUUCAACCCAUUUGAUUUGAGCAUUUACAUCAUGUGGACAUAUGCCCGUCUUUCCCGAUGUUGUGUAGCAUGAAGAAAUUUUUUUUAAUUUACUUGGAAUACUAUACUCAUAUUUUGCUUUGACCGUCCCUUCAAUUAAUUUAAAUUUCAAUCCAUUUGUUUUGAAUCUUCACAUCAUGAGGACAUAUACCGCCUUUCCCAAUGUUGUAUAGCAAGAAGAAGAAAUUUUUUUAAAAUUUACUUGGAAUACUAUACUCAUACUCGUAUAUUGUUUUGACAUGUGAAUUAUAAAUCUGAAAUAACUUACUUGAAUAUUUAACUUUAAAAAAGUUAAGAAAUAAUAGGUGUCAAUAUAGUAACUUUUUUUUUUUUUUUUGGGUAAGUGGGAGGUCUUGAAUUCAGACCUCUUACUUAUAAUUACAAGUGUUCAUAUUUCGGGAAAAAAAAUUGAAAAAUCAGCUGAUCCAAUUUAGAUCAAAUUUCAAAACAAUGGAAUUCGGAAAAAUCAAAAUAUAAUAUUCGAUAAAAUCGUUCAAGAAUGGAUAUUAAAAAUAUAUUACCGAUUACCAACCAAAUUAGUACAUUUUUUAUUACUAAAUAUAAGAUUAAAUCUUAAUCCUAUUACUAAAUACUAAUUUGUAAUUACUAAUUAGCUAACUUAAUUAUAAUUACACUUGGAAGUCAAAUUUUGAUGGAAGUUAGCGUGUUGGAGUUUAGUUUGACAAUUAAAUUUAGAAUUCUUGUUUAUUUCAAUGUUGUUUAAGAAUUGAGAUUAUGAGUUAGGGCUUAGGAUUAUGAACUUUUUUUUUUUUUUGCAUAUCAUUUUUAUUUGAAUUAAGUUGAUUGAAUUUUAUUAAAAACAUAUGAGAUAUUAUUUUGUUACAACAAUUUUUUUGAAAAAAAUUAAAAUAUUUAAAUUCACUAUUGACAUUUUUAAUUUUGGAUAUUACCGAAUUACUGAUUUUUCAAUCCAAUUCACCAAACUAAAGUUUGGAAGGUAAUCGAAUAUUAUUGGUUUUAAACAAUCGAUUCCUUAAUUACUGGAAUUUUUUUAAUCAAAUUUUCCAUUACUGGCAAUGGACGCCUCUACUGAUAAUCUCUCUUAUUUUAUCAUCAAACUCAACCCUUCCCCUAUCAAUACGGUAACUCUGCUGUCACUCUCUCCUCUUCAGAAGAAGUUAAGGAAUGAGAGGGCAGUCACUCUGCUGUCGCUUGGGACAGGUGGGAUUCGGAACAGUAGGAGGCCAUUUGAUAAUGAGGAGCCUAGAGAAUUUGCAGAUAGGUGUGCAGUUCAAUGGCACCGGGUUGCAGUUUACCCUGAGAGGUUAGGAGCGCUAACUGUGAAGCAUGCUGUACCAGGGUGAGCCUGUUUGGAUUUAUUUAGGCUUCUGUGAUUGACAUUUUGCAAAGGUUAUGGCUAUUAAGUGUUGAAAUUCUAAAAGUUAUUGCAUAUAACAUGUCAAACUCCUAUGUAUACUAACAUGAACUUUUAAUUCAAUUGAAAGAGGUGAAAAGAAACUUAGAAUCCAAAUUAAUGAAACUUGGAUUAUGUCCAGUGUUCUGCUGGUUUCUGAGAAACGACAGCUCAUAAUUGGGAAUUUAAUACUAAAGUGAGUCAGUUUUGUAGAUUACUUGGCAGACCACCAAAUUAGAUGGUUUAUGUUGUGGUUCGAGAAUUUCACCUUUUUUUUUAUUCAAUUUGUUGGUGUUUGUACAACAAAUCCUGCUCCGUAAGUCUUACCCCUUUAGUUGUUACUAUUUUUAUUGAUACGAACUGGUGGUCCUUGGGCAUUGUUACUAUGUUUAAUCAGUCUACUUUCUCAUCAUAGUUGAUUUAUUAAAGAUUGUAGCCUAUGGAGAUUUACCUUGGCUGUUUUUCUCUGCUCUCUCUCUCUCUCUCUCUGUUUCUUUCUACUGAGUUAGCUUUGAGCACGAUUCGCCCUGCACUUAUACUCAUCAGCAUGCACUGUUCUUCACUUAACAACCAUGAGCAUCCCUUGCUCCCACGUGUUAGUGCAUCAAUCAAUUGCUCACUUUCUUUUGAGUUAUGGUUAUAUCCUUAAUGUUAUUGAUGUUUGCAUCACCUCACAGAUCAGUCUUGUACGUGGAAGGAAAUCUGGAGACUAAGAUAUUUAAUGAUCCGAUAACUGGUCUAGUUCGACGUAUACGAGAGAUUGCAAUACGCCGAAAUGGUAAGUUUAUCACCGUGUUCCCACAUACUAUCAUAAUUGCACUGUUGUUAGUUAUAGUGCUUGUCUCCAGAAACAAGAAACUAUGUUUAUUGAAGGUACAGUAUCAAUUCAAUCUGUUUUAUUUUCUGAUUUCAUGUUGGUAAACUACAUAUUUCUGUACUUAUAUUGAUGCUGUUUUUUCAGCUAUUUGCCGCUCGGUGAUUUUUUUUUUAAGGAUGUUUGAAAGAAAUUUUAUGUAUGUUAGUCUAUGGUGUCUCAUCUCUUCUGAUGCCAAAAUAUGAAAGCAUUUGGUCACUUGAAAACCUGACUAGACUGUUUGCAUGACUGCUUAAUGAAUAGGAUAUACAGUAUCUGUUAACAGAUACAAAUGGAGCACUCCAAUUUUGCUUUUCAAUUGAUCUAUUCCUAUAAAGUUACAUGUAUAAAGCUUGUUCUGUCAAUGAAUUUUUGGAAGUUUCAUUUAGUACCCAAAAAAAAAAUGGUGAAACACUGAUAAUAUGGUGAACUCUGGUUAUGUGGGUCUUGUAGGUCGGCUGGUGUUUUUGGGACAAGGAAGUGAUAACCAGAAACCAUCACAAGGAGAUCUGAGAAGUGUUGGCUAUUAUUAAAGCGAAUCAAGUGUGAAAGCAAUGGGAGGCUCUUUGAGAGAGUAUUUUAAAACACUCUUGUAAUUAUGUUUGAGCAUUGCUUAGGGAGGAGAUUUGGGAUGGCCAGAUCAAGUCUGAUUAAGAAAUUGUACUAUUUGUCUUGCUAAUCUUGAUGUCCCUUGCUGAAGUAGUCCGUGGUUGUUACUGGGAGAAUAUAUUCCCAGUAUUGCUUCUGGUUGCGUUUGAUAGCCAGUUUACUUGUUAGUUGGAAAAGUACUUCUAUGCUCUCUCAUUUAUUGAUGCUGGUAUUUGUUAUGCUCAUAGAUCGUUUAACUGUGUUAUUCCGCAAAUCAAUAGGUAUAUUCUUGCAAUAAUCUGUUGGUUUUACUUCCAGGAGGGAGAGAAGUGGUGAAUGUGGUAGAGACAUUAGAAUGGUAGAAGAAAGCAAUGAUGUCUGGAACUAAUUUACGAAGGGGGAGCCAUUCUUUCUGCUGUACUUGCUGUUCCUUGUGUGUUAUGUGCUACACAUUGUUGGGGAGAUGGAGACUCUUAUUUAGCAGUAUACCUGGCAAUGGAGUAAUCUUCUUGUGAUAUCAAUUCAUUGUCAUAUUUUAGCUCGAUAGUAGACUGGAUUCUAAUAAUCAGAUCCAAAUGAAGUUUGAGUUCUAGUUUCAUGAAUGGACGAUAGGCAAGCGCACAAGUAUUUGGAAUUCAGGUGUUCAGUUUUUCGAGCCAGCUUUAAUGGCAUUCGUGUUCUAUAAUUGCACUCAAUUCCCACAUCGCCUGCGAGCAGAAAAGCCAAGCACGUUAUAUUUGCUCUUCGGGCAGCAACCAACGUCCCUUCGGGGACAUUCGAUAAAAUUGGAACGAUACAGAGAAGAUUAGCAUGGCUCCUGCGCAAGGAUGACACGCACAAAUCGAGAAAUGGUCCAAUUUUUUUGGGCUUUCUCCUGCUGAUUUUGGUCCAAAUUUUUUUGGGCUAUUUUACAGUGAGUGUUAAACUCAAUGACCCGGCUUUUCUGUGAUGAUUGUGGGCUGUGUUGCAUUGUGUGUCAAAUAUUCCGCGACUUUGGACUGCUCUGUUCAGCGUCAGUCUUUGCACUUGCGAAAUUCAGCUAUUUUUGCUUUUCUUUUUCUUUUCUUUUUUCUUGGCAAAAAUCUAGUUUUGCCUUAAUCAAUAGAAAGACUUAUUAAAUCUUACUGUCGAUGUAAGAAUUGAACUGAUAAGCGAGUCGUAAGAACUCUUGUAAGCGAUUUAUGAUAUCAUAAACCUGCUUUGACUCGUGAUGAUAAUCGAAGCUGAAUUCAUUCAAAUUUUUUAUUGUCAAAAAAAAAAAACUUGGUAUGGCUCAAGUCCAAAGAAGAAAGAAAGUUAUCCGAUGGAUCCUUAAAUUUACGGGUUCAUCACGACCUCGAGUUUGGACUAAAAAGUAGGAACCAGUUAGACUAUGAUGCCAUCAAAAACAGUACAUAUAAAAUAUCUGCAGCAACCCCCUGGUUCUUUAAGAACCGCGUGUUACAUGUAUUACAGCAGGUAGAACUUAAUUUUUAUUCAAUGAAUGCAAAAAUCGUUAAUAAAGUUUUUUGCAACUUAUAUUUGGCUUUAUUAGUUUUUUUUUUUCCUGAGCAGAUCGCGUUAUUAUCCUAAAAGGGACAAGCAACAAUAUCACUUGUCAUGUGCUUCAGUUAUUGUGAAUGGCACUCCAUUUACUCUGCAAUUUUUGCAAAAUCACUUUAACAAAAUGGACUAUCAUUAGCAAUAGCUGAAGUGGCAAUAGCAGUAAUUAUCCCACUGCAAAUUUGAAAGUCCUCAUGUAAUUUUCAUUAAGCAAAAACUUGAUUUCCUUUAAUUGGGCCACAUUCUGGUGGUCUAUUGCUUCCGAGUUCAGAAAAGUCGGCAAAACUAGAUGGCCCAAUAGGAAAGAGCUUGCUGACCUGACGAUACUGAAUUCGAAGCGAUCAACUUUCCUGGCUUAUGGCUUGGUUUCUCCUUUCCUUAUCCACAAAAUCAGUCUCUAUGGAGGAGAAAACAGACAUAUCAUGAUUUAUGAAAGUUAUUGGAGAAACACCAGCAGAAACAGAGCUAGAAUACAACCGAAUCAAAUGUGGUCAAGUCAGAAACUGAUGCAGUACUCACCCCAGUUACUUCAACCCCCAGCACUACCUCCUUCGCAAACUCAAACCACAAGUAUCAAGCAAUGCUGUAAAGUCUCACGCAGAGAACUUGCAAUUUGUACCAACUCAUCUUUGCUAUUACUCUUAGGCUCACAGACGGUGGAGCCAUUGCACCAUUCAAGAGCAAGAGCGGAGGAAAUUGAGGAUACAAGUAAAGAAACUGAACAACUUGUGGAAAGUGAGGAAAAUGAAGUUCCUAGGAACACUGAACUUGUGGAAAGUGAGGUUGCUCCUCGAAACACCGAACAACCAGUCGAAAGUGAGGAUGAUCCUCAAAAAACUGAACAACUUGCCCCAGAAGACGAUUCAAAGAAAACUGCAGAUCCCUGUGGAGAACAAAAUCCAACCCAGAGGGCAUUUCUUGAAGUGUCAAUUGAUGGCGUGCCUCUUGGUAGAAUUGUGAUCGGGCUAUACAGUGAUAGUGUUCCAUUUGGUACAGCCCGAUUCAGUGAUCUUGUCAGUGGUGCAGCGGGCAUUAGUUAUAGAAGAAAAGAAUUUGUUAAGAUCACGCCAAACUAUGUCCAACAUAGUGGAGUGAGAUCAUAUGGUGUUGAUGCUGAGCUUGCGAGGAAGGCUGGAAGCAAUUUGGCUGCUGACAGACUCACAGAUGAAUGGGAGAAGCAGUAUGCGGCUUGUCCAGGGACAAAGAAUUUGGCCAAAAGCAUUGGCAUUGUAGUGAGGGAUCCUUCAAAACCACCACCCAAGUUGAAAUUGAUUGCACGCAAAGGGAAGCUAGAGAUUGAUCAAGAAAAGGUGGGAGCGGAUCCUAAUGGGACAGAAUUUGUCAUUGCUAUUAAAGACUCGCCUGAACUAGAUGCAUCAACAUUAGUGAUUGGAAGAGUAUUGGAAGGAAUGGACGUUGUUGAGAAGAUUAGCCAAGUGAAGACAGUACAGGAGAAUACCAGUUCUCCCUAUUUCAGGUACCUGUUGUACUCUCUCUGCCUAACAAUACCAACAUGACAUUACAUAGAUGAGCAACUCUAUGCACACACAAUAGGACAAAUAACAUACAGCAAAUGAUCAUUUUCCUAGAUACAAUUUGAAAUUAACAUUUCUUCUUUAUGAAUUGCCCACCAGGGUAGCAAAGUUGAUAGGAGACAAAAGGGCUGUUGUAGCAGAGAGAGGCUUUAAUCGACCAUACUCAAAGGUGUUGAUUACCAAUUGUGGGUUGAUAAAAUGAAUGAAGCCCCUAUAGAUCACUUAUUUCCAUUUUGUAAUAGAGGACAAGAUUGUGCGGGGAAAUUCUUUCACAUUGAUGAUUCUCAGUAAAUUUUUGUGCUGUCAUAAAUUGGAGUUAUGCAUACAUGGACAGUACAGCUGCAAUCGCAACAAGCUGAAAAUAAUGAAAAGCUAUUACACUCAUCCUUAAAAGGAAAUCUUUAAAUUCAAGUAGGCAAGAAAAACUAGAAAAGCUAAGUAUGCAUACGUAAGUGUGCUUUCCUGAUUAGCUCUGCAAUCUCACAAUCAUUUGACAUGCUACAAAGUCAACACUAUCCCAGGCACUAGCUCGCAUGAGUAUGCUUCGUUCUUUUUACAGGUGGGGAACUGAAAAGCUUUCUGAUUGAAGCAAUUGGAUCAUCCACCUAUAUCAAAGAGAGGACAUAAGAAUGCAUUUGACACUUAUACAUUUACAAAGGAGGAAGCCAAGUAGACAGAGAAAAUUAAAUAGGCUAAGACUGCGGCUACAAGACAAAGAAUUCACCCAACAAGCAUUUCAGUUUGGAACCGUAUCUCAAAUGGGUUUAGGUAAAAUUUUACAUUCUAGGCUGAGUCAUUUGAGACUAAGAUGAAAACUGGGUGCAGCAACUAAGAAGCAAAUUGAUACAGAUGCUGUACGUGAUGCUCUUAUUAUCUUGGAUCACAACAUUGAAAUGAUAGUAACUAACUAUUCCAAGUGUUAUGCAUACUCAUAUACUGUACAAGGUGAACCAAGUAGCAUAAAAUUCUAUGAUUAGGAGCAUAAUUCAAGAUGCUUGUUUAGCUACAGCAGAUUGAAGAGUACCAACCAGAAAAAUACAUGUACCAGUAAACCAAAAUUGCAGACCACGAUAAACACCAAAUGCGAACUAUACUCUCUAAUUUUGGCAUGCAUAUUGUAAUUACUGCUGCUAUUGUAUCACUUCGUCAUUUACCUCAAUUAAGGAAGAUGGUGGAUUUUCAGCAAAGGACUCCGAGAAUUCUUUAUGGCGUUGUAAAGCAGACAGAGUUUGUUUCCAUCCAGGAGCAGAAUUACCAAUGGAUGCAAUCCACGGACAAAAAAGUUUGUGCUGCCUGAUCGGAUCGAACUCCAUCGAGUUGUGCAGUGAUUCUUGUUCUGGAUUCCUUCCUGUAGAACAGCAGAUAAAAAGCUUACCAAUAUUUUUCAGACUAAGAACUAACCUCUGAACCCUCUAGAAGUAGACCAGAUAAAAUAUCAGUAACUACUUUUUUUACAUCAAUUGCUAGACAGUCAAAAUAACAUGAAAGUAGGAAAUGGGUAAGAACCUUUACAGUGUAUUAUAUAUGUUAACAUACCAGGACACAUAUCAUGCUUCACAUAUAGUAUGAUGUUAUAUGCAUCUGGGAAAACACCAUUCAAUAUCAUAAAAUGUUCAAGGUUGAUAUGACAAUUUCUCUUAAUUAAUGGGUACAGAAGCAAAAAUCAUAGAAAGACCAGAAAAGAAGACACUAUUUUUUUCUUUGUCAAGGUAAAAGUUCAGAACAUGAGACACUGCAAAAAACAAAGAUAGCUCUUUUACCCAAACUAGUGUGAGGAACAUUGCUGUCUCCAGCCUGCCCUCCAGACUCCACAGCAUUGUUACUUUCCUUAUCACCUGGCAAGUUGUCAUUUUUGCAUGUGGCAGUCUCAACGACCAUCCCAACAUUAUUUUUGACAUUACAGCUGGAAAAUUCCCCAAUUUGUGACCUGUUACAGUCCUCGACUACAGAAUCAACUGUCUUGGCACUACCCACAUUUUUUACUAGCAUGUCAGCACUACCCAAACCUCCUCCUACAACCUCCAUGUUUUCAAGUUGUUUUUCAUUAUUGGAAACUGGUUCACCAACUUGAUCAUUUGCCUGUUGCGAUGUAUUCCCUUCCACCAAUGCCAUUUCUUGGUCUUUACAGACCAUAUAGUUGGUGGAAAAUCGAGCUCUCAAAUUCCGUCCAAUCAGAGGCAAAGAUAUAGUUGCUCUAUAAUUUUGCUUUGCAGGUGGAGGACCACCAGCAAUUGUCAAAUUCAAAGUACAUGUUUUCUCAUUUGAAGAUGUAGAAGCCGCAAAAUCAUUACGACCCUCAUUGCUGGAAAAGGAGCUCCCAGGAGCACUAUUCUUGGAUUGGGGAGUAUCAUUUUGACCAUCAACUUCAGUAUAUCCAACCAACCUCAGAAACUCUAUAGGUUGUGGAACUGAAGAAAAAGCCCACAAACCAAUACUAGCACCACAAAGCCUGCACUCAAAGACAACGGAAUUGGGUUCAUAGAGAACUCUCUCAGAAGCCUGAGAAUCAUUAACAGCCUCCAAAACCCCUUUAGCAGAGGAACGGAUGACACUCAGAUUAAGCUUAUCAGAGGCUAGAUGAGGUUGAUUUGCCAAAUUUACAUUGUUGCUAGAAUCUUCUUUUCCAACCUUGCAAUCAACAAUAUAAGGUAAUGAAUGAAAUUCCCAGCCAAAAAGACUGAUUAGCUUUUGUGCCUGCAAAAUACAAUGUUCAUGUUAAUAAACAUCAUAAGAUAGAAAAUUCUAGAAGGUUAACCAACUAACAUAAUGUUAGUACCAAUACAAAUCAUGGACCCGUUCAGUUCAAACCAAAAGCAAAAGUCACACUGCUAACAAAUACAAGAAUCCGGGAGUAGCACUAUUAUUAGCUGGUCAAGAAAGUGAAAUUGAAACAAGCUCAUGACAGAUGACUCCAAAGGAUCUGUCUGACUCUGUUUGUGUAUGCAUAAACACACAUUAAAUGGAUAGCUUCUUAGCAUUCCAUCAAAUAUACAAUUUAAACAAGCUUUGAGCUUCAAGAUUGUAGAUCGUAACAAAAAAUAAAUGUAAUGGGCAGAAAUUGAUGAAGCAGCUAACAAAUACUGGCAUUAAAAGACAAUCGAGCUGCUGAAAGUCAUGCAAAAUGGCUGAAGACUAUUCUUUACAGUAAGAUAUUAAAUAUCCCUCUACAAGUGCAUCACUUGCAUACGUAAUGUUUGAACCUGAUAGUAUGAAGCAGAAGAUGCUGAAGGAGGGUUAUUUAUGAGACUUCUACUAGCAUCAGCAGAUUUAUUCUUCUCCGCACCUGAAGGUCCUCCAAAAAAUUGCUCCAGCUGAGGGCUUCUUAUGUAAUCAAUGGCGGAAGGUGAAAUGAUUGGGAGAGCUGAAAGCUGCAAUAAAGCUGAACACCUUUUUUUAUAGUCAUCAACUAAAACAGCAGUUGGCUUUGGGGGAAACUCUGCAAGUUUUUCGUCACAGAUAUUGUCCACCCAUGGGCAAAGUAGUUUGUGCCCAGUAUCUAGCUUCAAACUGAAUACCAAGGCUGCCUUCUCAACUGGUAAUGAGUCACCAGGAACACAGUAGAAGAGAACCAAAAAAGAAAGAAAAGAUAUCAGAGAGAAACAAAGAAAUGAGUUGCUUCACAAAUCAGCUACAACAUGAAGAAUAAUUUGCCCUCCACAUAGCAGAAUGGUAAAGAGAAUCGUGCUUACCUUGUUGCUGUGUCCAAGACGAUGGAGUAGAAAAAAGAAGACGUGCACCACAUGAUUCACAGGCAAGGGUAUCCAUAUCCACAUUGAUCCAACCCCUCCUAGUGCAAUUCACUGCACUAAUUGUCUGAUAUUGAUGGAGAGAAUUAAUUUUCUAAUUCUGGCUUGUCUUCCAGAGUUUGAUGGAAAGAGAGACAAUAAAGGCAAACAAUACCAAGAAAUAUAUGUCUUACUUUCAAAUGGAGAAAGGUCAUAUUUGUAAGAAUUUAAUCCAAUUUACAUACAAGAAGUUUGGAACUGCAACAUAACCCAUAUCUUAAGUCCACUUAAAUAUUUAUGGUACCAGAUAUUAUCUCUCUACAAGCUGUACUUCAAAUCCACCAGUACAUCCAUAGCUAAAUGUACAAAUAUGCUAAAAGGAUGUUUUGGUAAGUCUGGAAAAUCUCACCUAAUUUUCUGGACAAGUCUCUUUGAAAAGAUGAACCACAGUGGAUUCUAAAUGUGGUGUAUAUAUCGGUGAUGUGGGAAUGAUGGAGUUUUACAAAAUAUAAAUUUCUGGUUUCAUGAAUAUGGAGAAAAAUGGGUGACAGAAUGUAUGAUGUUAUGAGCACCACAAUGGCCACUAAAGGCAAACAUCCAGGUUGAAACAAUUUUGACAAAUGAUGCUAUAAUUAUAUGGCAAAGUGGAUCAGCUUAUGGAGCUUCUAGCAUCUCAUUAAAAUAGGCAAGAUUACUUUAUGCUGUAACAAUGAAAUGUUGCCACGCCUCAUUGAUCUUGUUGUGGAUAUCUCAUGGAAGUUUUAUCAAUUCUCAACUAUCCGAAAAAUUUUGCGUACUAGAAUUGGAGUUAUAACUUGGAUCAGGAAAAUUUAGACAAAACUUUAACAGCCAAUGCCCAUGAUUGAUAUUUGACAAGAAAAGAAUUAAGUCUUGCAAUUUAGAACCAAUCAUCCAAAAAAAAAAAAAAAAUCCAAUUCCCAUUGCAGAGAGCAGGCUCUGAGAUUUGUACCUGUGGUUUAGCAAACCAAGUCAUGGACUUGAAAGUAGACAACCUCCUAAAUAGAUCAUCACGGUUCCAUGGUCUGCAAGAUGGAGCUUGUAUUGAACCACUUGAACCGGAUGACACCUGCAUUUCCUCAGUUGGAUUUAACCUCGAUUUUGGACCAAGUAUGCCCAAUGCAGAGGAUACAUUCGGCCAUUUCUUGCCUUUCAACCACCGAACUCCAUCAGCACUACUGUUUUAACCAAUUUUGUCAAAAAAAAAAAAAAAAAAUCAUUGGCAACAAGUUUCACUCUCUCUGGUUGUAGCAGUCCAAUUCUUAUUGACAAACACAAACACACAAAAGAAAUGCAAGAUCAAUUUCCUUGCUUGGAGGUAUCCAAUUCUUUUUGCUUGAAGCAAAAAAAAAAUAAAAUUGAAAUACAUGCACGCACACAACAAACACACACAAAACACUCCCUUUAAAGGUACAUUUUGGUAUUUCAGGUAGAAGCUUCUAUUUUAACCACUCAAACACAGUAUCAUACUCUACAAACAAGAAAAAAUCAACCAAAGUUAUACAAUAUUAAUAAUUAAUAUUUCGGCUUUAUAGCGCUUAUGCAUCAACAUUUCAGUUAUCAGCCAAAAUCAUACAUUGGGUUUGUUUGGAUAGUGUAUUAUUUGAAAUAUUAUUUGGAAUAAUUACUGUAGCAACAUUUCAGUUCACAAUAACUUCGAAAUCCAAACAAGAAAAAUUAAAAUACAGAGAAAACAACGAAGUGACAACUUCAGCAGCUAAAGUUCACUUUCAACAAAAAGAAAAAAAAAAAAAAAAGAGUACAUAAAAGAGCAAUGAGAAGCCGUUGAUAAAAAAUUGUGAAAGAGUUAUAUAAAGAGAAUUAACGAGGAAAGCUGAAGAAGAAGACCUGGUGGUGGUGGAAGCAGAGGAGCCGUUAUUAUUAUGAUGAUUAUUAUCGCUAUUAUUAGGCUUGGAUUUGGUGGUGGCGGUGGUCGGAGAUUCCGGAAACAGCCUCUCUAAUAUUGCUUCGAUUCUCUUUUGUGCCGCCAUCUCUCCUUAUUGCUAAAUUUUUUGGCCUGAGAAAAAAAAGGCUCAAAAGAAUCUGGACAUAAUAGAAUUUACUUGGAUUUUGAAGAGCUAAAUAUGGUAGUAAAUUGCUCCGGCAGCGCGCCACCCCAAAGUGAAGCUGUUAAAUUAAUGAGCUGUCCAUCGGAAAAUUUUUUGAAAUCUUUUUUUUUUUUAAACCACAUUUGCUAAUUACAUUUUUAUCUAAAAUAAAUUACAUUACAAAAACUAUUAUAGUAUACAGAAUUUGUGGAUAAAAAAAAAAAGAUUUUGAUGGUAAUAAUUAUUAUAAUUAUAAAGAAAGAAAGAGAGAGAGAGAGAGAGAAGAUUCUAGUACUAUAUAAACAUACACAGAAAUAUAUUUAUUAUUUUGAUAUCAAAAGUUUUUCUUUCAUUCAAUUAUAAGGUUUUGGGAAAAGUUUUAGUUAGGCAUUUGUUUGAAAUUUUUUUAUAUUUCUAGUCGAUUUUUUUGUCAUAAUUUUCCUAAAAUUUAUUUCUUGGUUCAACUAUUUCAUUCCCUUAAAGAAAUAUUUUAAUCACAUUCAUAAGUGGAUUCAAGUAUUAUUGUAUUUAUUUUAUUUAAGAACUUCAAGUAUUGGUAUUAUUGCUUCAAAAUUGUUAACAUUAUACCAUGUUUUGUCAACCUAUUAUUUAUUUAUUUAUAUUAGACUUAGUUGGACCUUUCUAAUGAAGCCCAAUAGUCGUAUGGUGUUCUUGGACGCUUGGACCUGACAAUGGAAAGGUCCAACAGAGAGUGUAUGACAGUAUGGGGUUGUAUCAACUAACAAUUCUUUUUUAUCCUUAGCCCAGCCCAAUUCAAAGUGCAAGUUCAAGCCCGUUUCUUAAUGCAGUUUUUUUGUGCCUCAGCUAAUCGAUCUAUCUCUCUCCCUCCGUCUCUCCUCGGCGGGGCAAUUCGGAACUAGUACGCCUUCGGUGGUGAGAUUGGCUAUUCAGGUAAGUAAUACUAUACAGUGAUUUCAGCAUUGCCUUUAGAUUAAACCUGUUUCUUAAGUUUAGAUUCUAAGUUCAAUGGGUGCUUAAAUUUACAAGUCUAUUUAUGAAAUGAAUUUCUUUUGGGAAUAAAAUCGAACAGGUGGAGGGCAAUGGAGAGCGAAGAGGAUGCAGUGAAGAAAGAACGGGUAGUGGAAGCUCGAGCUAGAAACAUUAGUCAUAAUGUGAGGUGUACGGAAUGUGGGAGUCAGUCCAUUGAAGAUUCUCAAGCUGACAUUGCCAUUUUGCUCAGAAAGGUAUCCCAUUUUCUCCUCCCAAUUAACACAACACUCCCCACCAAGUUAAAUUCAUUCACUGUGGAUAUUUAUUCAUGAGCCAAAAAAAAUUUUCCGGAGGAUAUCGUAAAUUUAAGCAAUUUUGAGUUUAGUAGUUGUAGGUGUACUUUAAUUUAGUCUGCUGAGUCGAAUUGUAUGCACGGAUAUUUUGAAUUGACUCUUUGUAAUGUUAAUUAUAUAGAGCCUUCAAGGAGCUUUGCGGACCUAUUUUUUUAUAAGCAGGGUGUUGUGAACUUAACUAGCGUUCAUAGCAUUGCAAGAUUUUACUAGUUAAUUUUUUGGUGGGGUGUCUGUGGCAGAUAAUCUCAAACUGGUGCAUAGCUGGUUUUUUGCCCUGUCCAUUCUUGUCGGUUAUGGGAUAGGUUUGGCUUAUGCAGUGAUAAUCUCAAACUUGUUUAUGGAUUAUCUGGUGUGCUUCUUAUUCUGUUUAUUUAGAUGCAUUUUGUUCGGUAGUUAUGACCAGUUUUCAAACAAAAGACACUGAGGAGUUCCUACCAUCUUUCUUCUGUUUGGUGGUGUUGUUUACAUACUCUUCUUGCAUUUUACCAAAAUUUUAUCUAGCCACUUGCUGCAUUUGUUUUCUUAUUUAUGCUUCCAUAACCUCACUCGGAGCUGUAUUGUUUACGUUACCUGUUGUAGUUAAUUCGGGAUGAAAUCCGGUCUGGUAAAACUGACAAAGACAUCUACAAAAAGCUUGAGGAUGAUUUUGGUGAGACGGUGCUUUACGCACCAAAAUUUGAUAUGCAGACUGCUGCUUUAUGGUUGUCUCCGGUCUGUAACUCUCACUACCAUUGGCGCGCCCCCUUCUUUAUUUUAGGGUUCUAUGGAAAUUGAUCACUUAUUUUGAACCUUUUCUCAAACAGAUUUUAGCUGCGGCUGCUGCUGGAGGCAUAUGGGCUUAUCAAAGGCAUAGACAAAAAACAAAUGUGCACAUUAUGGCUCUGAACCUAGUUAGAGGAGUUCCAUUGACCCCAAAGGAGAAAGAAACUAUGCUCGAUGUUCUCACACCACCCCCUCCCGAAGGAAUCACUUCUUCCUUUUGGUGGAGGAGGUGGGUUGGUCGAUGAAGUUUCUCGCCUGCAUCACAUUCACUAGAUGUGCUGAACUCCUCGGACUUGAAUUAUCACAUUACCCGGAGCUGGCAACUAACUAAUAUGCAUGCAGGAGAAAUGGUCCCUGGCCAAAGUUUCCACUGACUUGUUUCGAGAUUAGGAGAAGUAUUUUGAUUUGUCAAGUUAGUGAAAGUGUUGGAGUUAACUGGUUGUAUAUGAAAUGUAUUUGGUACCAUACAAACUUAGCUGAUGGUUAUGCUAAUCAUGUGUGUCAUUGCCAUUUGAGCUGUUAACAUUUGUGAUUCUUAAAUUAAAGGUUGCAGGAUUGAUUCUAGUGAAAUACGUUCAAGCAUAUUUCAGUGUGCUGCUAGUUUUGCAGUCUUUGGGGAUUGAUUAUUUCUGAAGAGCAUCAUGAUGGGCUCCAAUAUUUACUCCCGGAUAGAUAUUGUAAAAUGUGCGGGGAUGCGAUUUACCAGAGAAGAAAGAUUAAAGCAUAGUUAGCGAAUCCAUCAAAACCGUUCACGUUAACGAUUUACCAGAGAUCGAAUAUCUUUUUCCCACCCUUGGUAAAAGUUAAAUUAAUCUUCUUCUUGGUGUCCCAUGUCACCACCUAUUGACUUCAAUUACUUUUUUCGUUCUUGAAAAAAGUAAAAAUUUUAUAAGAAACGUGCUAAAUAAAAUUUCAUGGGCUUUUCUAUCUUUUUUAGUCGUUCAGCAUUUGAUAUCAAAAGAUUUACUCAUAUUGGCAUGUAAAAAGUAAAUAAAAUCCACAUAUUGAUGAAAAAAAAAACCAAGCUUCUAGUUCUAGCCAGCCUUGUACAAGUUUGAAUUGGUCAAGUUAAACUUGAAAAACAGUUACACCAAGUCAAAGAUAAGCCCUCCCUAAACUGUUGCAGCCACCACUCCAACAUGCGCCAUAACUCCCUCCUAAUCCCGCUCCACAACCUUCCUCUCUCCUUUUUAAGUCCAGCUUAGUACUCAAAUUUCUUCACAUUUACACUUUUCACAUCAAGAAACUCAUACAAGCAAAGAGCUCCCUCUUGAAAGUCCAAACAAACCAAAAAUGGCUUCUUUCUUCCAAAGUUUCUCGACAUGUUUCCUCCUAGUAUCCAUCUUCACUUCACUCCAUUUCUUAACAGGGAUUUCGGUUGAGUUCGACGUUGGUGGCAACACUGGCUGGGUAAUUCCUCCUUCGAAGAACGAUGAUCUGUACAAUGACUGGGCUUCCAAAAACAGAUUUAAAGUCAAUGACACCCUAAGUAAGUACUUGUCAAUUCUCCAUUUCAUUAAACUUUUUUCAAGUAGUAAUUGAAACUCAAUGCAAAUACACGUAUACAUGCAUGUGUAGUUUUUACGUACAAGAAAGAUGCGCCAUAACUCCCUCCUAAUCCCGCUCCACAACCUUCCUCUCUCCUUUUUAAGUCCAGCUUAGUACUCAAAUUUCUUCACAUUUACACUUUUCACAUCAAGAAACUCAUACAAGCAAAGAGCUCCCUCUUGAAAGUCCAAACAAACCAAAAAUGGCUUCUUUCUUCCAAAGUUUCUCGACAUGUUUCCUCCUAGUAUCCAUCUUCACUUCACUCCAUUUCUUAACAGGGAUUUCGGUUGAGUUCGACGUUGGUGGCAACACUGGCUGGGUAAUUCCUCCUUCGAAGAACGAUGAUCUGUACAAUGACUGGGCUUCCAAAAACAGAUUUAAAGUCAAUGACACCCUAAGUAAGUACUUGUCAAUUCUCCAUUUCAUUAAACUUUUUUCAAGUAGUAAUUGAAACUCAAUGCAAAUACACGUAUACAUGCAUGUGUAGUUUUUACGUACAAGAAAGACUCUGUUAUGGAAGUGACCAAGGAGGAGUAUGAGAAAUGCCGAUCGCUGCAUCCUAUGUUCUUCUCCAACAAUGGCAACACAAUCUAUGCAUUGGACCGAUCGGGUCUGUUCUAUUUCAUCAGUGGGGUUUCAGGACACUGCGAGAGAGGCCUCAAGAUGAUAAUCAAGGUCUUGGAUGUAGAAAGCACCCCUCAGUCUGCAAAUCAGACGGCAAAUACAUCAUCUCCUGCAAAAAGUGCUGCGGCUACGUAUUUUGGAACUAGUAUGAUGAUGGUUAUUUUGGCAGUGUUAGGGGUGAUUAUUGUCGUUUAAUGCUUGAUCCCAUUUUGUGAUUAGUUUAGAUGGAUAAAUGGAUAUGAUAGCUAGCAAUCAGGAGAUGAUCUUUUAACUCCUGAAUUUGUUUUCUUGAAUUGAAGAAUGUUUUGGUUCUGAUUACGACGCAUGCUUGCAUCUAUCUGGUUGGAAAUUAAUGUGAUGAUUGAUUAUUGAGGUUGGUAGUAUCAGUGCAUUUAGAUAUUUGGAGCAAGAGUCUUGUUUGGAUUUUGCAAGGCAAUAGCAGAAAUGUCUCCCACAUUUUGCAAAAAAAAAAAAAGAAGAAAAUCUAUUUCUUCCCUGCAUAGACCCCAAAAUAAUAAUUAUAAGGGAAGCAUUAACAAGAAACAAAAGCAGAAAUGUCAGAUUUCACCAUACCAGCAGAAAUGCAGAAUAAUAGAUAGAAUCAUAAGCCCUUAAUCCCCUUCUUAAUUGCUAAAGCAAAGUUAGAGAACCAUUUUGUUGCAAGAAAUUUCUGCAUGUGCUGUUCUGCUCUGCUAGUACUCUUGAGCUGGACCUUGCGGAAACCACAUGAAAAGCUAUCCCUUGAUGUGUGAAAUUCCCGAGCUUUCGAGUAAAAAGCAAAGGAACCAGGAAGCUGUCGAGCAAAAAUGCUCUUCUGAAUGCUAUAUGCUCCCUGCGACUGUAACCCAGAAAAAAUAUGUUUUAGCUUUUCAAUCAGUGGAAGAGGAAGGGAAGUUUCAACACAUCAUGAUAUGUGACAGCACUUCAUGAGAUGAAAGUAUGUUCACCUAAACAUAAACAUGCAUGGUAUUUAAAGACCACUCUUCCUUACAUACUUCAUCACAUCUAACUAGCAAGAAGAUAACUUGCAUGGUCUUUGAAAAUCAGUCAUCCUUACAUAUGCAUGAAGAUAACUGCGAAGUCGUGCAGAAGGCAGCAUGGCAUGUUUCAUACCACGAUCUGCAUUGUCAAGAAGCAAUAACUAGUUUAGCGAAUGAGUUCUCACAAUUACUUCUAUUUUAUAGAAUAGAAAUUCUUAAAGUGAAAGUGAUUGAGCCAGGGGUUAAUCACCUUGGAUGACGUGAAUGGAAUUCUCUCUCUCAUCCAAGACCACUUUUACUGAAGUUCUGCAACACAAAAGUAGAAAAAAAAAAAUCAUAGCAAGAAUGAAACACUAUGCCCAACUUACUUACAUAUCAAAAGCAUUUAAUUUAAAAAACCAUGCUUUUGUGGAGGUGCUUGCAGUUUAAUUUGGAUUAAGUGAACAGCACAAAUCAUAAGGCUUCAGAAAUUCGUAAUGUUCAAAAUUUAAAAUGCUCUUUGAGAUCAGCUUUACAGGGUGAUGGAAGGUUAAUGUCAAAAGCAUGAAUUUGAGGCUUUAUACAGCUCCAUGUGACUAAUUCAAGCUAGUUUACAGACAAGACAAAGAGACCAUUGGUAUUUUUAAUAUUUGAAAAUAAGACAGGAGACUUAUUGGUAUAGUGACAGGAGAUUUGUUGGUAUAGUGAACUUCUAAGUGUAAUAUGACUUUCUAGACCUGUUGAUAAACAAUAAUUUCUUAAAUGAUGCCCUUCUAAUCGCAUAUAUACUUUGACAUUUUCAGUGCUGAUUAGGUGCUUAUUUGACUUAUGUGGGAUAUUAGUACUUAGGUUACUUGUGUUUAUUUCUCCCGUCUCUAUCCUUCGUAUUUUAUGAAUUCCUAUUAACUGUGUACUUCAUAUGCCAAUGGAUGCUUAGAAAGCCUGUAGUCAGGAAGUUAAACGAUGAACAGAGUGCAGCUUUGGCACGGUUCAUUCAUGGUAAAAGACGCUACUCUUCUGCUGUGCCACCAUUUCACAGGGUAGUUGUGCAUGGUGAUCCCUUUGCUGGAGUUAAAGCAGUGAAAGGAACCGCCGGAAGGGUGCAGCCGAUGAGGAACUUAAUGAGGUGGACUGCUAAUGAGUUGGUUACGAAGAGAAUCAUUAGGAGGAUAAGAGGUGUUUAAUCGACGAAAUCUUGACUCGGCAAUGGUGACAGGAAUGGCUUGAUCCGCAUUUUGUUUUUGUUCCAUGUGGACAACUUCGCCCAAGGAACUGAAGAAUAGUAACUUUGUGGUCAGAUUUAAGUUUACUAAUCUUGUUUGCUUCUGCAGUAUAUCUUGAUUCAUCGCCGGUUAAGCUGUGUUGUUAUUCUCUCCCUGGAUCAGAUUCAAAUAGCCAAGAAAUCUUUUUUAUGUUUGACAUAUAAGAGAUACAUGGGCUCGCUUUGGUUGGUUUUGAAGCCUUGUAGUGCACAGUUAUUGUGAGAAAAACGGAACGAAUGCUGCAGAAGAAAAUCAGCAAUUUUAAACAAUAACUACUCUAUUGCAGGACAUUGGACGGGGGUUCUAGACUGAAAGCUGAAGUCUUUGUAUUCUCUUGUACUUUUUCUCAAUGGACCGCUUGAGUCCAAUAAUUUACAGUCGUUAGCUGGGAAUUUGGUCUUUCAUAAAAAAAGUUGUAAGGAAUUUUCUAAUUGUUAUCAACGGGCACUUGUUAAUACAUUUGAAUUCCACUCGAUAAAUAUAUGCAAUCAUAAUUAUUGUGAUAAUUAUUGCUCUCUCUCUCUCUCUCUAUAAAGGUGAUUACACUGUGUUCACCAAAAAAUACUUUACAUUUUCGCUUGUUUUGAUAAUAUAAUGUUGCAGGCACUAAUUACUAACUAUAAUUGCCUUACCUUGUGACUAAAACAUCUGCAAGGUGAUUUUUCAGAAAAUAAUUGAUAAAGGCAUUAUUAGUUGAAUAAUUACAUUGGACAUGUUUUUAGAUGUAAAGCAAACUAUGGUUAAAUAUCUCAUUUCAAAAUCCACGCAUUGUGAGCAUUUUUUUCAUUGGUUAUUAUAUGCUUUUACAUAUAACUAGAAAAAUCCACAUGCUCGUUACAAACUAUACGUAAUAGAAAAACAAAAAACAUAAAUAAAACAUACAUUUUGGUCUUGAAUGUUGUUACAACAAAUGUUCAUGUAGAUAAAAACUUGUCUAAGUGACCAUAUAAGGGGGAAGGGAUGGGAUAGAUGGUAUCGGGGAAGGAGUGUAAGUGAAAAGUCUUACUAAUUAUGAUACAAUAACAUUAUUAGUUAUGUGGCCUUACAUUUAUGCAUAAUAAAUUCUUGUUUUGCAUUCCUUGAAUUUCUUUUUGGAAUAGUUGUUAGAAAAUCUAAUUAGAAUGCAGCGCCUCUUAAUUCCAUGAGGUUCUUUUCCUUCUUCCUCUUGGGGUGAUCGUCAUCUGAGUCACCCUCAUAAGACGAGGAAGAGGACUCUUCAGGCUGUUUUCGAGAAGACUCAGCCCUAUCCUUACCUUUCAUAUGCCUGACAAUCUCUUCAAAGAGCUCUGGACCUCUACAUGAGGUUGUGAGUUCUUGGGGAUGUCCUGAUCCCUUAGAUCGGCUGUACAAUCUCCGGAAGUUUGGGGGUUCUGAUUUCCACGAUUAGAGCGAGUCUUAGCUAUUACAGAGUAGAGCAGCUAUAUUCACUUCGUUCCCACAGACGACGUCAAUUGUAGAGUCACGAUUAAAACUCGCGAGAAGACUGGAGAUUGGCAAACUCUAAUUCGGGUUUCCUAUAUGAGAUCAAGAGCAAAGGCGAGGCUAUUCCUCCGAUUUGACUUUGAUACUUAAGUUAGCAAGAGUUGAUAGUUUGGGAGCAAGAGUUGAUAGUUUGGGAAUAAAUUACCGAACAGGAGGGCUAAGAAGCAAUUGCCUCUAGGGUUCAGGAAGAGGGAUAUUUAUAGUAGAACUUGAGAAGCAUCCUUGAGGUUCGAACCGCAUUGAUGAGAUAGAAUGCGGCGAUAGAUCAGUUAUAGGUCUACUGUUGCAGGAGCAUAGGCCUGCAAAAGAUGGAUGUUAUCGAGAGAAGAAAUGUAAGCGAGAGGUCCCAAAUUUGAAACCUCCCACUUAUACUAAAAAAAGAAAAAGCUACUAAACAAUAACAUUAUUAGUUAAGUGGCCUUA
RNAcentral lists this long non-coding RNA (67938 nucleotides) under Coffea arabica (coffee). The record is from RNAcentral. Lineage: Eukaryota; Viridiplantae; Streptophyta; Magnoliopsida; Gentianales; Rubiaceae.